RNAcentral lists this long non-coding RNA (52191 nucleotides) under Medicago truncatula (barrel medic). RNAcentral's name for it is "long non-coding RNA (MTRU_LNC004401)". The record is from RNAcentral. Lineage: Eukaryota; Viridiplantae; Streptophyta; Magnoliopsida; Fabales; Fabaceae.
GGGCAUUUUGGUCUUUUCCUGUCAAAAUUUCGGCAGGGAGGUAUUUUAAAAUACCUCAUGUCAGUAAUUGGUUCGUUUUAGUCCUUUUGUUAAUUUUAUUUUUGGUUUCGCUUUACGUUGCGUCAAAUUUACUUUUUAGUCCAAUUUUAUUUUUUUUAAUUGCAUUUUUGUCCAAUACUUUUUUUAAUUGCAUUUUUUUUAGUCUUUUUUAUUAUUAUUGCAGAUUAGUCCUCAUAUUAACUUUUUUGCAGAUUAGUCCUUAAGUCCAAAACAGUCCAGGUGUCAAUUUUCCAUUGGAUCUCCGAUACACAUGGCAGGCUAUAAAUAGUAAAUGUGUCAGAUCCAUCACAAUCAGUCAGAAAAAAAAAUCAGAAUCAAUCACAAUCAGUCUCAAACAGAAUCUUUUUCUCUCUCUCAUCCAUAACAGAAUCAAAACAGAAAAAACUCAGAAAAAAGAGGAAGAACACCAAGAACACAUCAUCACCAAAAUCAACAGAUCUAAACCGGAUCUGCUCAGAAUCAACUCCAAUCACCACAAAAUCAACAAAUCCGAACCGGAUUCACUCAAAACCACCGCGAAUCAUCACAUCAACACCAAAACUUACCGGAUUUUUGAGCAAAAACAACCACAAACGGAGAAAACGCGCGCGCACGGAGAGGGGAAAAAGGGAGAUUCGAAGUUUUCCGAAGAUUUUUCUCCGUUCUACGACAGAGGUAACGCAUUUCUCUCCUCUUUUCCUUCAUUUUCGCGCGCGCCUAUAGUGUAGAAAAAGUGUGAAAAAGUUUGUUACGGAUAAAGAUUUGUAGAUCUAGGCUUUUGUGUUCGGAUUUUGGAAAUUUUGAGGCCGGAUUUUGACUUUAUAGAGAAAAGGAUAUCUAGAUCCGUAGUUUUUUUUGCGAUAAGUGUGAAAAAAAUUUCAAAGUAAAAACGUAGAUCUAGCCCAAAUCUCUCAGCUCUUUCUAAAACUAGUGCCGGAUUUGUGUAGAGGAGGAGGAGACGAAGCUUUUGGUAUAAAAAUUUUGAAAAAAAAAAAAGAAAAAGCUCCGACGCGGUGGCGCCGCCGCCGGAAACUGGCCGGCCGCCGCGCCGGAGCAGCUCCGGCCACCUCCUCCACCUUCUUCUCCGGCGAGCUGUUUUAGAGAGAGGGGAGAGCUUCUCUCUCUAAGUGUGACUUAGAGAGAGAAGGAGAAGAGGUUUAUGUGUUUUUUGUGUGAAAAUUCCUUUAUAUACUCCCUCCGUUCCCACGUGCGUGCGUACAUGCUUCUGUGGUGUUCCCUCGCUCUGUGAACCAUCAGAUCUGGAUUGUUCCAAGAUCUGAUGGCUGCUGUGUGUUUGAUUUUGAAUCCUGUGUGUGAUUUUUUGUGUGGAAUAUGGUAUAUCUUCUGUUUGAACCGUUAGAUCUUUGAUCUAACGGUCACUGUGCUUCGUGCAUUUUACACUAUCUUUUGUGCUCUUUUUUGGACCCUUGGAUCUUUGAUCCAGUGGCUGUGAUGUGAUCUUGGGAGUUAGAUCUGGACCUCUGGAUUCAUCCAGCGGACCAGAUUAAAUUCUGCUGAGCCUUUUUUUAAUUGCUUUUUAAUUGUGUUUUAAAUACUUUUUUUACACUUUCUUGGCAUUUUAUGCUCCUAAAAAAUUUUCUAAAAAUGUUUCCCUAUCAUUUUAAUUUUUUCUUUAAAUGUUAGAAUUUACUUGCUUAUUUUUUUUAUUUUCUUCAUUUGUUCUUUUUAAUUCUUGCUCAUUAAAUUCCUAUAUGUUCUUGGUGCAUUUUUUGACAUUUUGUGAUAUUUUUAUUUUUUUUGCAUGUUAAAUAAUGUGUAGAAAAUAUCCCUAGGAAUAUGGUAUGAUGCUUUGUUUGUGUGUUUUUAUGAUCCUCACAUUGUAGCUUAAAAUCAAAUCUCUUUUAAAAAUGGCUAUGAUGAGAUAAUUAUAAGCCAUAUGCAUGUCUAAGUGUUAUACCUAAUUCUAGGUAUAUUUUGCCACUUUAUUUCAUUUCAUUACCUUUUUUUCUCUUGCUAUUCUAUUCAAUUUUGUUUACCUUUCUACUAUUUUUAUGCCUUAUGAUACUAACCAUUUCAUCUAACAUUUCAUUCAUCCCAUAGUUUUAGCAUCAUUUUUUUGUUUUUAUUCAUUUCUAUAUCAAUUGGGUUUGUAAUAAUUUUAGAUAGAUUAGUUCCUUUUUAAAUUCUUUGCAAGACCAUAGCAUGUAUUUAGGACUCAAUGUAAAGGACUAUGGACACUAUAAGUGAUGUACACCGACACAAGCACCGACAUGCACACACGUUGCAUGUUUACCGUUUAGAUGUAUGUUUAGGAAAUGCGAUUUUUAGACAAAUGUCAAUUUUCAAAAAAAUAAUAAACCAAUUCCAUCAUUCAAAUUUUUCCAAACAAAUCUUGGAGUCAAAACUCCAUUGAAUUUCUUCUUUAUUUUCUUAAACAAAUCCAAAUGAAUCCUAAUUUCUACUUAGACUUUUUUAAUAACAAUCGAACCAACCAUUCACCAUUUUUCUCUCUUAUGCCUUUAAGGCCUCUUCCUCUUCUUCAAAACCUUUUUCCAACAAAAACUAAAAUCAACCAAACACACAAAAAACAUUUUUUGAGAGAGAACUACAUGGAGUUUGAUCCCUUAAAUGGGUAUGUAGGCAUGAGGUCAAAACCUCUCCAAGUCCACUAAAAUAAAACCUCAAACACUUUCUCCCCCCAUUCUUCACUCAAAUAAAACUUCUUUUUUAAUAAGUAGGCAAUAAAAAUAAAGCGUAGAAAUAAACUUAAGAAAACGGCUCCUAUAGAGUACUAUAGUCACCGCGGGUGCCUAACACCUUCCCGUAGUGAAAACGACCCCCGAACUUCGAAUCUAAGGGUUUUUUCUCAAUUUUGCCCUUCCCAAGAAAAAAUAGAGAAUAUCAAAGAUUGAAAGGUUCAAGCCUAAUUUAUGACUUGACACCCGAAAAUCGCGAUAACAGAAAUGGCGACUUCACUGGGGACACUUUUAGCGGGUCACGCCUAGUUUUCUUUAGUUUAUAUUUACGCUUUGUUUUAUUGCUUACAUAUGUGAAUACUUGUUUAUUUUCAUUUGACGUGUGGGGUGAGAAUAUCAAAAGUCCUAUACCCGGGCUGAGUGAACUUAUGAAUAGGUAGAGAUAUAAUCGACAAUUCGAUCCGAGGGUUGCCUCGUGUAUUGGGUUAUGCGAUCAAUCUCACAUAGCUGAGGCAUUUUGGAAGUAAUAUUGUCGGCGUGUGUUGUCAUGCUUAGGCACUUUGCUUUCAAUUGUUCGACGAUGCUAUGGACCGUAGUUACCAAACCCAUCCCUGGCCUUUUUAGGACGUAGUGCGGUGGCUAAACCGAGUGUUGUCUCGAGUUUUAGUCGUCACGCGAUACUACACUCAAACUAGACCUUCUUGCGAAUAAACAUGGAACGGACGUUGUCCCGUGCUACCAUGAUAUACGUAAGAGAGGUUGCAGUUUGGGAACUUGAUUAGAACCUUGGUUACUAUUAUCCUAAGCCUUAGUUUACCGGGCACCGUGUCCGCCCUUGGCUCCUCGACUUUAAUCUCAACCCUCCAUGUUUUCUCUGUAAUUGAAAAAACAAUCAUGCAUACAUGCAUUCAUGCAUAAAUUUUUUCUCAUGCAUUCAUCGAAGGAUCGGACAAAUUAAAAACUUUGUAAACAUUACAGGUAUGAAGAAGACUAAAUCCUACAAGUUCAAGGAGGUUGAUUUGGUUAGUUUGAGAGAGUUGGCACUCAAGGUGAAGAAUCAAACAGGUUUCCGACUCCGGUAUGGUGGUUGGCUUACUAUUCUCCGGACUAAUGUUGAAGAGAAGCUCGUGCACACUCUAGUGCAAUUCUAUGACCCGAGUUUCCGCUGCUUCACUUUCCCGGAUUUCCAGUUGGUCCUUACUCUUGAGGCUUAUUCCCACUUAUUGGAUUCACCUAUAGCCGAGAAGACGCCUUUCACCGGUCCCGGGGCUUCUCUUACUCCUCUGGUUAUUGCUAAGGAUCUCUAUCUCAAGACUUCCGAUGUCUCCAAACAUCUUACUACUAAGUCUCACAUCCGAGGGUUCACUUCCAAGUAUCUACUUGAGCAAGCUAAUCUCAAAACUACUUGUCAGGACGCACUCGAGGCUAUUCUUGCAUUGCUUAUCUAUGGGCUCAUUCUCUUCCCGAAUCUCGACAACUUUGUGGACAUGAAUGCUAUUGAGAUCUUCCAUUCUAGGAAUCCGGUUCCUACCCUGCUAGCUGACAUGUAUCAUGCUAUCCAUGACCGGACUCUCAAAGGUCGUGGGUAUAUCCUUUGCUGCGUGCCUCUCCUAUAUAGGUGGUUUAUUUCUCACCUUCCGAGCUCCUUCCAUGACAACUCGGAGGAUUGGUCCUACUCACAGCGGAUGAUGGCUCUCUCUCCUAACGAGGUGGUCUGGAUCACUCCCGCCGCUCAGGUUAAGGAGAUUAUUACUGGUUGUGGAGACUUUCUCAAUGUACCUCUUCUUGGUACCCGUGGGGGAAUCAACUACAAUUCCGGAGCUUGCUAUGAGGCAGUUUGGGUUCCCCAUGAAGACAAAGCCCAUCAAUCUUGCUACAUCUCCGGAGUUCUUCUAUUAUUCGAACGCCCCCACCGGACAAAGGGAGGCUUUCACAAAGGCUUGGUCUAAGGUCCGUAGGAAGAGUGUGAAGCAUUUGGGUGUGAGAUCUGGUAUUGCUCAUGAGGCCUAUACUCAGUGGGUAAUAAACCGAGCCGAAGAGAUUGGUAUGCCAUACCCUGCUAUGAGACAUGUGGCUGCACCUGCUCCAUCUAUACCUUUACCUCUACCUCCCAUAACUCAGGAGAUGUAUCAGGAGCAUCUGGCCAUGGGAAGUCGUGAGAAACAAAUGUGGAAGGCCCGAUAUAAUGAGGCUGAGAAUCUAAUCAUGACUUUGGAUGGUAAGGAUGAGCAGAAGACUCAUGAGAACCUGAUGUUGAAGAAGGAAUUGGUUAAGGUCCGAAGGGAACUUGAAGAAAAGGAUGAGCUACUUAUGCGGGACUCCAAGAGAGCCAGAGGACGACGCAACUUCUAUGCUAGAUAUUGCGGUUCGGAUUCGGAGUCUGAGUCUGAGGAUCAUCCCACCACUUCCUAUGCUUGAGAGUUUUAAAAAUCCUUCGAUGUCCAAAAACAACUUUUGCAUUUGCAUUUGUACAUAUCAUGCAUCAUGUGCAUCAUUCAUCAAGCCACAAAAGGUUUCCAAGUGCUCACUGCCUCCUGGGUCUUCUGCCACAGAUUGAAAGGUGGCUCGUGCUCGGAAAGUUUACGAAUCAGACAGAAUACACCGGAUAAGACUCUACAGAAAGAAGAAUUCGGCAGCCAUGGAAGAAGAGAAUGCUUAGCUCCGUACCGAGUUAGCCACUCUAAGGGAAGAAUUGGCUAAAGCUAAUGAUGUCAUGACUGCUCUGCUAGCCGCUCAAGAACAAUCAGCCACGGCUAUCCCUAUAGCCACAGCUAUACUGGUGACUACAAGCAUGCUCCCAACCGCAUCUGCAGACGCUCGCUUUGCUAUGCCAGCUGGGUUUCCGUAUGGGCUUCCACCGUUCUUCACUCCCAGUACUGCAGCGGGCACUUCGGGCACUGCUAACAAUGUUCUGAUCCCUACAACAAAUGUUGGCUCAUCAAUGCCACUUUGCCACAAACAACGGCAGCUGUCACUGAGCCUUCUUGUGCAUACCAUGCCCCAAGGUGUUAACAUCAACACACAGCAUGGAAGCAUCCCCGUAACCAAAACCAUGGAAGAGAUGAUGGAGGAACUUGCUAAAGAACUCCGUCAUGAGAUCAAAGCCAAUCGAGGAAAUGCGGACUCUUUCAAAACUCAAGAUCUCUGCUUGGUGUCAAAGGUGGAUGUCCCUAAGAAGUUCAAAAUCCCGGACUUCGACCGAUACAACGGCUAACUGUCCCAGAACCACAUCAUCAAGUACGUCCGAAAGAUGGGCAAUUACAAAGACAAUGAUUCCCUUAUGAUCCACUGCUUCCAGGAUAGUUUGAUGGAAGAUGUUGCAGAGUGGUAUACUAGUUUGAGCAAAAAUGACAUCCAUACCUUUGAUGAAUUAGCCGCUGCUUUCAAGAGCCACUAUGGGUUUAACACCCGAUUGAAGCCGAACAGGGAAUUCCUCAGAUCUCUCUCCCAGAAGAAGGAGGAAAGCUUCCGUGAAUACGCACAGAGAUGGAGGGGGGCAGCUGCCCGCAUUACUCCCGCUCUUGAUGAAGAAGAAAUGACCCAGACAUUCUUAAAGACCUUGAAGAAGGAUUAUGUUGAGAGAAUGAUCAUUGCUGCCCCGAAUAACUUUUCGGAGAUGGUCACCAUGGGAACUCGUCUGGAAGAAGCCGUCAGGGAUGGAAUCAUUGUGUUCGAGAAAGCUGAAUCCUCUGUGAAUGCAUCGAAGAGGUAUGGUAAUGGACACCACAAGAAGAAAGAAACGGAAGUAGGGAUGGUGUCAGCUGGAGCCGGUCAAUCCAUGGCUACUGUUGCUCCUAUCAAUGCAGCCCAAAUGCCUCCGUCAUACCCAUAUGUGCCGUAUUCUCAGCAUCCUUUCUUUCCGCCAUUUUAUCAUCAGUACCCUCUGCCACCGGGUCAACCUCAAGUACCCGUUAAUGCAAUCGCUCAACAGAUGAAACAACAGUUGCCAGUUCAACAACAUCAACAAAAUCAGCAAGCUAGACCUACUUUCCCUCCGAUACCGAUGUUAUAUGCUGAGUUGCUUCCGACUUUACUCCAUAGAGGACAUUGUACAACCAGACAGGGCAAGCCCCCACCUGAUCCGUUGCCUCCAAGGUUCAGGUCCGAUCUCAAAUGUGAUUUUCAUCAAGGCGCCCUGGGUCAUGAUGUCGAGGGGUGCUAUGCUUUGAAGUAUAUCGUAAAGAAGCUCAUUGAUCAAGGAAAGCUGACUUUUGAGAAUAAUGUCCCACAUGUCCUCGACAAUCCUCUUCCAAAUCAUGCCGCUGUAAAUAUGAUCGAAGUAUGUGAGGAAGCUCCUAGACUUGAUGUCCGUAACGUCGCAACUCCUCUGGUGUCUCUACACAUCAAGCUGUGCAAAGCUUCUCUGUUUAGCCAUGAUCAUGCCAAGUGCCUAGGAUGCCUUCGUAAUCCUUUGGGUUGCUAUACUGUUCAAGACGACAUCCAAAGCUUGAUGAAUGAUUAAUUUUUUGACUGUUAGUGAUGUCUGCGUAAUUGUGCCAGUUUUUCACGAUCCGCCUGUCAAGAGUAUGCCUUUGAAGGAGAAUGCUGAGCCUCUGGUGAUAAGGUUGCCCGGACCGGUACCGUAUACUUCAGAUAGGGCUAUCCCGUACAAGUAUAAUGCUACCAUAAUUGAAAACGGAGUAGAAGUGCCUCUGGUGUCCUUGGCUGUGAUGAACAAUACCGCCGAAGGAACUUCAGCAGCCCUUAGAAGCGGAAGAGUCCGUCCACCGUUGUUUCAAAAGAAGGCAGCUACGCCUACCGUGUCACCCAUUGACAAACCAACCCCGACUGAUGUUUCUCCCGUUAACAGAGACGCGAGCCAAUCAGGCCGGUCUAUAGAGGAUUCUAAUCUGGACGAGAUUUUGAGGUUGAUCAAAAGAAGUGAUUAUAAGAUUGUGGAUCAGCUGCUGCAAACUCCGUCGAAGACAUCCAUUUUGUCUCUACUUUUGAGUUCCGCUGCCCACAGAGAUACCCUUUUGAAAGUAUUGAAAGCAUCAUAAUCUGGCCUUGCAUAUCUCCGUAAAUUGCAAGUCUGACAUGAUCUCAAAUGUGUUAGUAGACACUGGCUCAUCUUUGAACGUGAUGCCCAAGUCAACGCUGGAUCAGCUGAGUUACCGGGGAACUCCUUUGAGGAGGAGCACUUUUCUUGUCAAAGCCUUUGAUGGAACCCGCAAGAGCGUUCUCGGGGAGAUAGACUUGCCAAUAACUAUCGGUCCCGAAACCUUUCUAAUCACCUGUUAAGUCAUGGAUAUUAAUGCCUCUUACAGCUGUCUCUUGGGGAGACCUUGGAUACAUGACGCGGGAGCGGUGACCUCUACUUUGCACCAAAAGUUGAAAUUUGCAAAAAGUGGAAAGCUUGUUACCAUUCAUGGAGAGGAGGCAUACCUGGUUAGCCAGCUAUCAUCUUUCUCUUGCAUAGAGGCAGGAUCUGCAGAGGGGACCGCUUUUCAAGGAUUAACUGCCGAAGGUACGGAGUCCAAGAGAGAUGGAACUGCCAAUGGCUUCUUUGAAGGAUGCACAGAGAGCCGUCCAGGAGGGUCAAGCUGCCGGCUGGGGCAGGUUAAUACAGCUUCGUGAGAACAAGCAUAAGGAAGGUCUUGGCUUCCUCCCCAACUUCAGGAGUUUCCACCGGGGCAUUCUAUAGUGCUGGGUUUGUCAACGCAAUCACAGAUGAAGCAACUGGAUUUGGCCCGAGGCCUGUAUUUGUUAUACCAGGAGGCAUUGCGAGAGAUUGGGAUGCCAUUGACAUUCCCUCAAUCAUGCAUGUUUCUGAGUAAUAUACCUUGUUGCUUAAGUAUCUUGUUUUUUCAAAAUAACAAUCCUCUCGCUCUGCCCAAAGCGAGAGUGAUAUUUUCUGUAAGGGCAUGUUUGUUUCGGCAUUGCCGUUGAUUAAUAAAAAAUUGUCGUUUCUUUCACGACUGCUUUUUUUUAGUGCCUUUUUUCCUUGGAAAUAAUGGUAAUGCCAGAAAAAACCAAAAUAUCUGUAUUUUCUUAUUAAUUUCAAAAAUCUGCAUAAAAAACCUCUUUCUAAAAUCAUCCAACCAUUUUACGCAGAUUGAACUAUAAUAAACCCGUUGGGCACAGUAACCCUGCAUUCCCUCCGAAUUUUGAGUUCCCAGUGUAUGAGGCCGAAGAUGAGGAAGGUGAUGACAUACCAUAUGAGAUCACUCGGUUACUUGAGCAAGAAAAGAAAGCCAUUCAGCCUCACCAGGAAGAGAUUGAGCUUAUCAACAUAGGUACCGAGGAGAACAAGCGAGAAAUCAAGAUCGGUGCUGCUCUAGAGGAAGGGGUUAAAAAAGAAAGAUCAUCCAACUCCUCCGGGAAUAUCCGGAUAUUUUUUGUCAUGGUCGUAUGAAGAUAUGCCAGGUCUAGAUCCUAUGAUUGUGGAACAUCGGAUCCCCACCAAGCCUGAAUGUCCUCCCGUCAGGCAGAAAUUGAGAAGGACUCAUCCAGAUAUGGCUCUCAAGAUUAAGAGCGAGGUUCAAAAACAGAUUGAUGCGGGUUUCCUCAUGACAGUUGAGUAUCGUGAAUGGGUUGCCAAUAUUGUACCUGUGCCAAAGAAGGAUGGUAAAGUCCGAAUGUGUGUUGACUUCAGAGACCUGAACAAAGCUAGUCCAAAAGACAACUUUCCAUUACCUCAUAUUGAUGUGCUUGUUGAUAAUACUGCUCAGUCUAAGGUGUUCUCCUUCAUGGAUGGUUUCUCCGGUUACAAUCAGAUCAAAAUGUCUCCUGAAGAUAGAGAAAAGACGUCUUUUAUCACUCCAUGGGGUACUUUCUGCUACAAAGUGAUGCCGUUCGGCCUAAUAAAUGCUGGUGCUACCUACCAAAGAGGGAUGACUACUCUGUUUCAUGACAUGAUUCACAAAGAAGUCGAAGUAUAUGUGGAUGAUAUGAUUGUGAAGUCAACAGAUGAGGAGCAACAUGUUGAAUAUUUGACAAAGAUGUUUGAAAGGUUGAGAAAAUACAAGCUUCGAUUGAAUCCCAACAAAUGUACAUUCGGCGUCAGAUCCGGGAAGUUAUUAGGCUUCAUUGUCAGCCAAAAGGGCAUUGAAGUCGAUCCUGAUAAAGUCCGCAACCUGCGGGCCGAUCUUCAAGCUACUCAGAAAGAAUCAGCCUAUUCUAUGGAAUGAUGAAUGUCAAGAAGCUUUUGAUAGCAUCAAGAAUUACCUGCUGGAACCACCUAUCCUUGUCCCACCCGUGGAAGGAAGGCCUUUGAUUAUGUAUUUGGCAGUAUUUGAUGAAUCCAUGGGAUGCGUACUUGGUCAACAGGAUGAGACUGGAAAGAAAGAACAUGCUAUCUACUAUCUAAGCAAGAAGUUCACCGAUUGUGAAACUCGGUACACAAUGCUUGAGAAGACUUGUUGUGCUCUUGUCUAUUUGCCUUUGCUUUCAGUCGAGUGACCAGUUCGAAUCAAGAACAAUUCGUGCCUGUCUACCUAUUCUAUGUCUCCGAUCGAGUGACCAGUUCGAAUCCAAGAACAACUCGCACCUGUUUGUCUGCUUUUAUUCCAGGUCAAGUGCCCAGCUCAAUCCAAGAGCAGCUUGUACCCGUCAAUUUGUUCCUAGUCUCCUAUCUACCCUGUUAUCUGUUAUCUUGUCAAUGUCUACCAAUCCCGCAAUGGAUACGACAUCUUUUGUUAAUUCCAGCUUUCGUUUGUCUCGCACUCAUAAUCCAAAUGUUGCAUGGCAUUCAUGAUAUUUGAAAAUGUACAAGCGUAUUUUUACGUCCAAACACAGUGCAAAUGUUAAUAUUUAAGUAUCUUCGUCCCGUCGAGCCAAAGACUCCGUCUCUUGACCCUCCAGACAAAGAAACUUAAAUAGGGGCAGCUGUUAUACCCUGAUUUUGGACCUAAAAAUACUCGUUCAAAUUUCUUUUCUAACACUGAUACUUGUCAAAUUCUCUGUUAUUUUUUUCUCUGAAUCUUUACUCUUUUUUUAAACAUAUUUUACUGCCUCUGUCUGUCUUUUCUUGCAUUACAAGUCAUUUAAGAACUCUCUGAAACGUCGCAUUACUUUUCUUGCAUUUUAUUUCAAAAAAUCAUACAAAAGGGGUAUUUUGGUCAUUUCCUGCAGUGGAACCCAUUUUAGUCCCUGUGUUUGCCUCUGAGUCUUUUCAACUUGUCUGUACGAAUUAUUGUUGAGUCUUUGUUUAAAAAAUCAUUUCAAAAAUUGCAUCUGAGUCAGUUAGUCCCUAGGGGCAUUUUGGUCUUUUCCUGUUAAAAUUCCGACAGGGAGGUAUUUUAAAAUACCUCAUGUCGGUAAUUUGUUCGUUUUAGUCCGUUUGUUGAUUUUAUUUUUCGUUUCACUUUACCUUUUUACCAAUUACCAAUUUUAAUUCAUUUUAUUUUUAUUUACAUUUCGGUCCCCCAAAAGGGUCCCAAAAUUGCAUUUUUGUCCAAUACUUUUUUAAUUACAUUUUUUUAGUUUUUUUUUAUUAUUGCAGAUUAGUCCUCAUAUUAACUUUUUGUCAGAUUAGUCCUUAAGUCCAAAACAGUCCAGGUGUCAAUUUUCCAUUGGGUCACCAAUACACAUGGCAGGCUAUAAAUAGUAAAUGUGUCAGAUCCAUCACAAUCAGUCAAAAAAAAUCAGAAUCAAUCACAAUCAGUCUCAAACAGAAUCUUUUUCUCUCUCUCAUCCAUAACAGAAUCAAAACAGAAAAAACUCAGAAAAAAGAGGAAGAACACCAAGAACACCUCAUCACCAAAAUCAACAGAUCUAAACCGGAUCUGCUCAGAAUCAGCUCCAACCACCACAAAAUCAACAAAUCCGAACCGGAUUCACUCAAAACCACCGCGAAUCAUCACAUCAACACUAAAACAUACCGGUAUUUUCGAGCAAAAACAACACCAACGGAGGAUAUAGCGCGCGCGCGAAAGAGAAGAGGAGAGAUUCGAAGUUUUCCGAAUAUCUUUUUUCUCCGUUCUACGACAGAGGUAACGCGUUUCUCCUUUCUUUCUAAGCCAUUUCCGCGCAUUUCUUGCUUGAAAAAGUGUGAAAAAGUUUGUUACGGACAUGUAUUUGUAGAUCUAGGCUUGUACGUUCGGAUUUUAGAAAUUCCGAGACCGGAUUCGGACUCUAGAGAGAAAAGGAUAUCUAGAUCCGUAGUUUUUUUUCAAAAAAAGUGUGAAAAAUUUUCAAAGUAAAAACGUAGAUCUAGUCCGAAUCGCUCCGUUCUCGCUAAAACUAACGCCGGAUUUGUGUAGAGGAGGUGGUGACGGUACUUUUGAUGUAAAAAUUUUUAAAAAAAAAGUAGUUUGAAUUUUCCGGCGCGGUGGCGCCGCCGCCGGAAACCGGCCGGCCGCCGCGCCGGAACCACCACCACUCAUGCUCGCCGGCGGCGAGUUCCUAGAGAGAAGGGAGAGCUUCUCUCUCUAAGUGUGACUUAGAGAGAGAAGGAGAAGAAGUUUAUGUGAUUUUUGUGUGAAAUUUCCUUUUAUAUACUCCCUCCGUUCCCACGCGCGCGCGUGCAUGUUUCUAUGGUGUUCCCUCGCUCUGUGAACCAUCAGAUCUGGAUUGUUCCAAGAUCUGAUGGCUGCUGUGUGUUUGAUUUUGAAUCCUGUGUAUGACUUUUUGUGUGGAAUAUGGUAUAUCUUCUGUUUGAACCGUUAGAUCUUUGAUCUAACGGUCACUGUGCUUCCUGCAUUUUUACACUAUCUUUUGUGCUUUUUUUUGAACCCUUGGAUCUUUGAUCCAGUGGCUGUGAUGUGAUCUUGGGAGUUAGAUCUGGACCUCUGGAUUCAUCCAGCGGACCAGAUUAAAUCCUGCUGAGCCUUUUUUUAAUUGCUUUUUAAUUGUGUUUUAAAUACUUUUUUACACUUUCUUGGCAUUUUAUGCUCCUAAAAAAUUUUCUAAAAAUAUUUCCCUAUCAUUUUAAUUUUUCCUCCAAGUGUUAGAAUUUAUUUGCUUAUUUUUGCAUUUAUUUUCUUUACUUUGUUCUUUUAAUUCUUGCUCAUUAAAUUCCAUAUAUGUUCUUGAUGCAUUUUUUACAUAUUAUGAUAUUUUGGCAUGUGAAAUAAUGUGUGAAAAUAUCUCUAGGAAUAUGAUAUAAUGCUUUGCUUGUGUGUACUCUUAUGAUCCUCACAUUGUAGCUUAAAUUCAAACCUUUCAAAAAAUGGCUAUAAUGAGGGAAUUAUAGGUCAUAUGCAUGUAUGAGUGUUAUACCUAAAUUCUAGGUGUAUUUUUACCACUUUAUUUCAUUUCAUUACUUUUUUUUUCUCUCUUGCUAUUCUAUUCAAUUUUGUUUACCUUUCUACUAUUUUUAUGCUUUAUGAUACUAACCAUCUCAUCUCACAUUUCAUUCAUCCCAUAGUUUUGGCAUCAUUUUUCUAUUCAUUUCUAUAUCAAUUGGGUUUGUAAUAAUUUUAGAUAGAUUAGUUCCUUUUUAAAAUUCUUUGCAAGACCAUAGCAUGUAUCUAGGACUCAAUGUAAAGGACUAUGGACACUAUAAGUGAUGUACACCGACACGAGCACCGACACAUGCACACACCCCACAUGGAUGUUCUAGAUGCAUGAUUAGGGAAUGUAUGUUUAGAUGUAUGCCUUAGGUUUUACAACGCUUAGACAAAAAAAUCAUUUUUUCAAAAAAUGUGAAUAACCUCACUUGAAAACUUUUUUUCUAAAAUAGGAGUCAAAACUCCUCAUUUUCCUUUUGUUUUCUUAAGUUAAAAAAUUUUUUAAUAAAUUUUAAUCAUGCUUAGACUUUAUUUUGCAAAAUAACUACUUCCACCUCACUUUUUCCAAAUCUCAUGCCCUUGAGGCCUCUCACCUCCAUUCUUCAAAAUUCCUCUUUUCUUUUCAAACUUAAAAUCAACCAACAAAAAACAAAAAACAAUUUUCGAGAACGAACUACGUUUGGUUUUGAUCCCUUAAAAGGGUACGUAGGCAAUGAGUUAAAACUCCUCCAAGCCAAGUAAAAUAAAAUAUCAAUCAUCUUCUCUCCCCCAUUCUUCACUAAAAUAAAACUUCCUUUUUUAAAAUAAGUAGGCAAUAAAAAUAAAGCGUAGAAAUAAACUUAGGAGAACGGUUCUUAUGGAAUACCAUAAUCGUUCCGGGUGCCUAACACCUUCCCGUAGCGAAAACGACCCCCGAACUUAGAAUCUAAGGGUUUUUUCUCAAUUUUCCCCUUCCCAAGAAAAAAUAGAGAAUAUCAAAGAUUGAAAGGUUCAAGCCUAAUUAAUGACUUGACACCCGAAAAUCGCGAUAACAGAAAUGGCGACUUCACUGGGGAAAUUUUUUUUUUUAGCGGGUCACGCCUAGUUUUCCUUAGUUUAUAUUCACGCUUUGUUUUAUUGCUUACAUAUGUGAAUACUUGUUUAUUUUUCAUUUGACGUGUGGGGUGAGAAUAUCAAAAGUCCUAUACCCGGGCUGAGUGAACUUAUGAAUAGGUAGAGAUAUAAUCGACAAUCCGAUCCGAGGGUUGCCUCGUGUAUUGGGUUAUGCGAUCAAUCUCACAUAGCUGAGGCAUUUUGGAAGUAAUAUUGUCGGCGUGUGUUGUCAUGCUUAGGCACUUUGCUUUCAAUUGUUCGACGAUGCUAUGAACCGUAGUUACCAAACCCAUCCCUGGCCUUUUAGGACGUAGUGCGGUGGCUAAACCGAGUGUUGUCUCGGAGUUUUAGUCGUCACGCGAUACGUACACUCAAACUAGACCUUCUUGCGAAUAAACAUGGAACGGACGUUGUCCCGUGCUACCAUGAUAUACGAAAGAGAGGUUGCAGUUUGGGAACUUGAUUAGAACCUUGGUUACUAUUAUCCUAAGCCUUAGUUUACCGGGCACCGUGUCCGCCCGUGGCUCCUCGACUUUAAUCUCAACCCUCCAUGUUUUCUCUGUAAUUGAAAAAACAAUCAUGCAUACAUGCAUUCAUGCAUAAUUUUUUCGCAUGCAUUCAUCGAAGGAUUGGACAAAUUAAAAAGCUUUGUAAACAUUACAGGUAUGAAGAAGACUAAAUCCUACAAGUUCAAGGAGGUUGAUUUGGUUAGUUUGAGAGAGUUGGCACUCAAGGUGAAGAAUCAAACAGGUUUCCGACUCCAGUAUGGUGGUUUGCUUACUAUUCUCCGGACUAAUGUUGAAGAGAAGCUCGUGCACACUCUAGUGCAAUUCUAUGACCCGAGUUUCCGUUGCUUCACUUUCCCGGAUUUUCAGUUGGUCCCUACUCUUGAGGCUUAUUCAUACUUGUUAGGCUCACCUAUAGCCGAGAAGACGCCCUUCACCGGUCCCAGGGCUUCUCUUACUCCUCUGGUUAUUGCUAAGGAUCUCUAUCUCAAGACUUCCGAUGUCUCCAAGCAUCUUACUACUAAGUCUCACAUCCGAGGGUUCACUUCCAAGUAUCUACUUGAGCAAGCUAAUCUCGAAACUACUUGUCAGGACGCACUCGAGGCUAUUCUUGCAUUGCUUAUCUAUGGGCUCAUUCUCUUCCCGAAUCUCGACAACUUUGUGGACAUGAAUGCUAUUGAGAUCUUCCAUUCUAGGAAUCCGGUUCCUACCCUGCUAGCUGACAUGUAUCAUGCUAUCCAUGACCGGACUCUCAAAGGUCGUGGGUAUAUCCUUUGCUGCGUGCCUCUCCUAUAUAGGUGGUUUAUUUCUCACCUUCCGAGCUCCUUCCAUGACAACUCGGAGGAUUGGUCCUACUCACAGCGGAUGAUGGCUCUCUCUCCUAACGAGGUGGUCUGGAUCACUCCCGCCGCUCAGGUUAAGGAGAUUAUUACUGGUUGUGGAGACUUUCUCAAUGUACCUCUUCUUGGUACCCGUGGGGGAAUCAACUACAAUCCGGAGCUUGCUAUGAGACAGUUUGGGUUCCCUAUGAAGACAAAGCCCAUCAAUCUUGCUACAUCUCCGGAGUUCUUCUAUUAUUCGAACGCCCCCACCGGACAAAGGGAGGCUUUCACAAGGGCUUGGUCUAAGGUCCGUAGGAAGAGUGUGAAGCAUUUGGGUGUGAGAUCUGGUAUUGAUCAUGAGGCCUAUACUCAGUGGGUAAUAAACCGAGCUGAAGAGAUUGGUAUGCCAUACCCCGCUAUGAGACAUGUGGCUGCAUCUGCUCCAUCUAUACCUUUACCUCUACCUCCCACUACUCAGGAGAUGUAUCAGGAGCAUCUGGCCAUGGGAAGUCGUGAGAAACAAAUGUGGAAGGCCCGAUACAAUGAGGCUGAGAAUCUAAUCAUGACUUUGGAUGGUAAGGAUGAGCAGAAGACUCAUGAGAACCUGAUGUUGAAGAAGGAAUUGGUUAAGGUCCGAAGGGAACUUGAAGAAAAGGAUGAGCUACUUAUGCGGGACUCCAAGAGAGCUAUAGGACGACGCAACUUCUAUGCUAGAUAUUGCGGUUCGGAUUCGGAGUCUGAGUCUGAGGAUCAUCCCACCACUUCCUAUGCUUGAGAGUUUUAUUUGUUUACAUUUCAAAGUCUUCCCUUGGCUUAGUAUUUCAAAGGGAUUCAUUUUGUAAACGCUUCAUUUUGCUUUGCUUGUUUAGAUAUUGUUUACAAAACUCCUAAUUUGUCUAAAAAUCCUUCGAUGUCCAAAAACAACUUUUGCAUUUGCAUUUGUACAUAUCAUGCAUCAUGUGCAUCAUUCAUCAAGCCACAAAAGGUUUCCAAGUGCUCACUGCCUCCUGGUUCUUCUGCCACAGAGAGAUUGAAAGGUGGCUCGUGCUCGGAAAGUUUACGAAUCAGACAGAAUACACCGGACAAGACUCUACAGAAAGAAGAAUUCGGCAGCCAUGGAAGAAGAGAAUGCUCAGCUCCGUACCGAGUUAGCCACUCUAAGGGAAGAAUUGGCUAAAGCUAAUGAUGUCAUGACUGCUAUGCUAGCCGCUCAAGAACAAUCAGCCACGGCUAUCCCUAUAGCCACAGCUAUACCGGUGACUACAAGCAUGCUCCCAACCGCAUCUGCAGACGCUCGCUUUGCUAUGCCAGCUGGGUUUCCGUAUGGGCUUCCACCGUUCUUCACUCCUAGUACUGCAGCGGGCACUUCGGGCACUGCUAACAAUGUUCUGAUCCCUACAACAAAUGUUGGCUCCAUCAAUGCUACUUUGCCACAAACAACGGCAUCUGUCACCGAGCCUCUUGUGCAUACCCUGCCCCAAGGUGUUAACAUCAACACACAGCACGGAAGCAUCCCCGUGACCAAAACCAUGGAAGAGAUGAUGAAGGAACUUGCUAAAGAACUCCGUCAUGAGAUCAAAGCCAAUCGAGGGAAUGCGGACUCUUUCAAAACUCAAGAUCUCUGUUUGGUGUCAAAGGUGGAUGUCCCUAAGAAGUUCAAAAUCCCGGACUUCGACCGAUACAACGGGCUAACUUGUCCCCAGAACCACAUCAUCAAGUACGUCCGAAAGAUGGGCAAUUACAAAGACAAUGAUUCCCUUAUGAUCCACUGCUUCCAGGAUUAGUUUGAUGGAAGAUGUUGCAGAGUGGUAUACUAGUUUGAGCAAAAAUGACAUCCAUACCUUUGAUGAAUUAGCCGCUGCUUUCAAGAGCCACUAUGGGUUUAACACCCGAUUGAAGCCGAACAGGGAAUUCCUCAGAUCUCUCUCCCAGAAGAAGGAGGAAAGCUUCCGUGAAUACGCACAGAGAUGGAGGGGGGCAGCUGCUCGCAUUACUCCCACUCUUGAUGAAGAAGAAAUGACCCAGACAUUCUUAAAGACCUUGAAAAAGGAUUAUGUUGAGAGAAUGAUCAUUGCUGCCCCGAAUAACUUUUCGGAGAUGGUCACCAUGGGAACCCGUCUGGAGGAAGCCGUCAGGGAAGGAAUCAUUGUGUUCGAGAAAGCUGAAUCCUCUGUGAAUGCAUCAAAGAGGUAUGGUAAUGGACACCACAAGAAGAAAGAAACGGAAGUAGGGAUGGUGUCAGCUGGAGCCGGUCAAUCCAUGGCUACUGUUGCUCCUAUCAAUGCAGCCCAAAUGCCUCCGUCAUACCCAUAUGUGCCGUAUUCUCAGCAUCCUUUCUUUCCGCCAUUUUAUCAUCAGUACCCUCUGCCACCGGGUCAACCUCAAGUACCCGUUAAUGCAAUUGCUCAACAGAUGAAACAACAGUUGCCGGUUCAACAACAACAACAAAAUCAGCAAGCUAGACCUACUUUCCCUCCGAUACCGAUGUUGUAUGCUGAGUUGCUUCCAACUUUACUCCAUAGAGGGCAUUGUACAACCAGACAGGGCAAGCCCCCACCUGAUCCGUUGCCUCCAAGGUUCAGGUCCGAUCUCAAAUGUGAUUUUCAUCAAGGCGCCCUGGGUCAUGAUGUCGAGGGGUGCUAUGCUUUGAAGUAUAUCGUGAAAAAGCUCAUUGAUCAAGGAAAGCUGACUUUUGAGAAUAAUGUCCCACACGUCCUCGACAAUCCUCUUCCAAAUCAUGCCGCUGUGAAUAUGAUCGAAGUAUGUGAGGAAGCUCCUACACUUGUGUUAUACCCUGUUUUUGGACCUAAAAAUAACUGGCCCAAUUUCAUUUCAAACUUUGUCAAUUGUCAAAUUUCAACUGCACAGUUCAAAUUGUCUCUGCCUCGCAGUAUUUUCAAUCACAAUUUUACCUAUGUUUUUCUUGCAUAAAACCUUUUGAAAUGUCUUUACUUGUCUUGUAAGUCAUUCAAAAGUGUCUCUGAAUCAUUACAUUGCUUUUUCUACAGUUUAUUUCAAAAUUUGCAAAAAGUCAUACAGAAGGGUAUUUUGGUCAUUUCCUGCAGUGGGACCCAUUUUCAUCCUUGUGACUGUCUCUGAGUCUUUUCAGAUUGAUUUUUUCAGUAAACCCUGCUAAUUUCAUUUCAAACUUGCAUCUGAGUCAGUGUCGAGUCAUUUUGGCUCUGUUUAGGUCAUUUUUAGCCCUAGGGGCAUUUUGGUCAUUUCACACAAAAUUUUGGCAUGGGGAGGUUACUUUGAAGUACCUCAUUUAAGCCAUUGGUUCGUUUUAGUCCUUUUGUCAAUUUUACUUUGGGUUUCACUUUACGUUUUGUCAGUUUACGUUUUUAUCCAAUUUUAUUUUGUUUUUACCUUUUUGCAUUUUGGUCCCCAAAAGGGUCCAAAAUUGCAUUUCAGUCUAGUUUCUUUUUCAAUUCAUAUUUCAGUCCAGAAUUUUUUUUAUUUUAUUUUACUUUUCAGUCCUUUCUUUGUAAAUUUCAUUUCAGUCCCUUAACUUUUUAAUUUUGCAGAAAAGGCCCAAUGUCAAAUUUGCAUUUUUUUAGUCAAGAUCCAGGUGGCGCAAUUCAAUUGGGUCAGAGGCAAUACAUGUCAGCUAUAAAUGGAGCCAAGUGUAAGAUUCAAUGCCAUUAACUACACGCCAACUCAACAAACACAAUCAAGUUUCUCUCUCCUUUCUGUUAAAGAUCAAAAAUCAGAAAUUCUCAAGAACAUGAAGAACACAAAACCCUAACCGUUUCCAGAAAGUGACAAAAUUCAUCAAGUUUCAGUGUUUUUCGUAUCAAUUCUCAGAGAUUCGUAUGAAUCUUCAUCACUGAAUUGAUCAUUCUCUGCAAUUCCAAACGCGAGCUCGCAUUGAAGCAAGCUCAAGCGUUGAUCACAGAGCGUGAAAAGAAGAGGGAAAGAAGCAAAGUUCUAAACCGGCGAAGAAGAUGAAGAAACGGAAUCAGUGAGAAAAGGAGAAUCACCGAUUUAUUUUCGGUCCAAGAACAAGCAAAGGAAUCAAAAAACCAAGCAAGAACAUUCAAGUUUUCCCAAAGAUUUCCUCCAUUAAAGGUUUCAACCAAAACCUUAGGUAAAACUCAGAAUCUUUUCUCAGAAAUAAUAUCACUGUUAAACCUAAAAAUCACGUAAGCAAAACAGAUCCAAAAUUUCCAGAAUUCAAAGCCAAAACUAUAACCGUAAACACCAAAACCUAGAUCCGUGAGGAUCAAAGUUUUGAAAGCAAGAACAAGUACCAGAAAAGCAGUGAAUAACGAAACGAUGUAGAUUCUUAAAGAUCCAAACGUUUUCGUUCAAAAAGAUCAAAAAAUCAGUUUCAAAACCGUACAAAGUUUUUUCAGAUCUACAUCACUUCAAGCUGUAUUUGAGAAAUUUCUUGAUAGAUUCGUGUUUAGGGUUAAAGGACGAAUCAAAAGAUGCAAAAAUAUUUGAGUUCUGGAAAUUUUUCACCGGAAACUGCUAGGUCUCGCCGGAGAAGAUGAAGUUUCCGGCGGACCUUCAAGGUCUCCGCCGUAGCUUCAUCCUCACCGGCGGUGAGGGUUUAGAGAGAGAUGAGAGAAGAGAGAGGGGUUAGAGAGAGAAAGAAGAAUACGAAAUGAAAAAACCGGCGCGCUAGGGUUUAUAUAGAGUGCUAGACCGGACCGGUUCAAGACCGGUCCAAUCCCAUGCGUUGUGAGCCCUUAGAUCUAGGGUUUGGGAUCUUGGAUCAAUCCAACGAUCCCUGAGCGUUCCUGUGAGAUCCGGAUCCCUUGGCUUUGGGCCUGGGCCUCUUUUCUUUGCUUUUCUACGUUUUUUGCUUUUUUUGUGCUAUUUGCACCGUAUUUCCUUGCUAUCUGCACCUAUUGCUUGUUUACUUCUUUUACAAAAAUUCCUAAAAAAUCCUAGUUGUUUCUUGAUGUAUUUUUGGUAUGUCUAUGGUAUUUUUGCAUGUAAAAAAAAUGUUAAAAUGGCAUGAACCAAUUCCAUGUAUUUUUGUACUUUUGGUAUGCAUUUUGCUAUGUUUUGUUCUUGACAUUUUGAUAGUAUGACAUGGAUAAAUGAUGCCUAAUAUUGUGGUGAAUAUAACUCUGGAAAUGUGCUUUUGUUUGCUAUUUGUGAAUAUGAUUUUAUGGAUUUCUUGUUUUACAAGCAACAAGUGUUUAUUUUUAGGAAUAAAGUAGGAAAUUUCUUCAUGAAUUUGGUAUGGUAUUUUGCUUGCACAUGUCUCCAUUAAUUGCAUGUCAUGGUUUAAAACAAAAUUUCUUUCAAAAUUGCCAUGAUGUGAUAAUUAUGGGUCACUAGCAUCUUUAGGUAUCAUAUCAAAUGUUUUUUUUAGGUUUUUACUACUUUGUUACUUUUUCUUUGCCAUUCUUAUGCACUUCCUUUUGAUUAUUUCCUACUAUUUUGUGCUUUAUAAUUACUAACCAUUUCAUCUCAUGUGCCAUACAUUCCAUAGCAUUCCACCACUCUCUCCACUUUCUUUAGCUUAGCAUUUAUUUUUAUUUUUUUGCAAGUUUUAAUUCAUUUGGUAAUGUAAUUUGUUAUCAUUGGUUUGUAGCUUGGCAAAGGGGCCAUAGAAUGUAUUUAGGCAAUUUUUGUAAUAUGGACUAUGGACACUAUGACGCACCGACACGCACACACUCACCUUAGAUGUAUGCAUAGGAUUGUAUGGUUAAAUAAGCGUUUAGGUUUUAAACACUUAGAGAAAAUCCAUCUUUUUUCAAAAAAAAAAAACAAUUGAACUUCACUUCAAAAAUUUUCAUAAUAAAUAUGAAGUCAACACUUCACUUUUUCCUUUCUUUUUUUUAAGAAAAAUUCAAUUCAUCUUAAUCAUUUAGACUUUCUUUUCAAUCACUAAUCAAACCUCACUUUUUUGCUAAAUCUCAUGCUCAUGAAGCCUCCCAAUCUCCUUCUUCAAAAUCAUUUUCAAAAUUUAAAAUCAAACAAUUAAAACAAAAAAACAACAAGUCUUUUUAGCAAGAACUACGCCGGUUUUGAUCCCGUAAAACGGUACGUAGGCAAGGGACUUUAACCCCUCCAAGCCGAAAUAAAAUUAAAUUCUACUUCUUCUCACCCCCAUUCUUCACUCAAAUAAAACUUCUUUUCCUUCAAUAAGUAGGCAAUAAAAAAUAAAGCGUAGAAAUCAACUUAGGAGAGCGGCUCUUAUGGAGUACCAUAAUCGCUCCGGGUGCCUAACACCUUCCCGUAGCGAAAACGACCCCCGAAUUUAGAAUCUAAGGGUUUUUUCUCGAUUUUGCCCUUCCCAAGAAAAAAUAGAGAAUAUCAACGGUCGAAAGGUUCAAGUCCAAUUAAUGGCUUGGCACCCAAAAACCAUGAUAACAGAAAUGGCGACUUCACUGGGGAUUUUUUUAGCGGGUCACGCCUAGUUUUCCUUAGUUUAUUUACGCUUUGUUUUAUUGCUUACAUAUGUGAAUACUUGUUUACUUUCAUUUGACGUGUGGGGUGAGAAUAUCAAAAGUCCUAUACCCGGGCUGAGUGAACUUAUGUUUAGGUAGAGAUAUAAUCGACAAUUCGAUCCGGGGGUUGCCUCGUGUAUUGGAUUAUGCGAUCAAUCUCACAUAGCUGAGGCAUUUUGAAGGUGAUAUUGUCGGCGUGUGUUGUCAUGCUUAGGCACUUCACUUUCAAUUGUUCGACGAAGCUAUGAACCGUAGUUACCAAACCCAUCCUAGCCUUUUUAGGACGUAGUGCGGUGGCUAAAUUGAGUGUUGUCUCAAACUUUAGUCGUCACGCGAUACUACACUCAAACUAGACCUUCUCACAAAUAAUCAUGGAACGGGUGUCGUCCUGUACUACCAUGAUAUAUGUGAGAGAGGUUGCAGUUUGGGAACUGUGUUAGAACCUUGGUUACUACUAUCCAAAGCCUUAGUUCACCGGACGCCGUGUCCAGCCGUAGCCCUGUUACUUUGAAUCUCAACCCAUCUUGUUCUUUGUAACUAAACAACACAAUCAUGCAUACAUGCAUUCAUGCAUAAACAUUUUUUUCAUGCAUUCAUCGAAGGGUUUAAACAAAUGGAAAUUUUUUGUAAAUAAUCACAGGUAUGAAGAAGACUAAGUGCUACAAGUUCAAGGAAGUGGAUUUGGUUAGUUUGAGAGAGUUGGCACUCAAGGUCAAGAGUCAAACAGGGUUCCGACUCCGGUAUGGGGGAUUGCUUACUUUGCUCCGAACCGAUGUGGACGAGAAGCUAGUGCACACUCUAGUGCAAUUUUAUGAUCCAAGCUUCCGUUGCUUCACCUUCCCGGACUUCCAGUUGGUUCCUACUCUCGAGGCUUACUCCAAUCUAGUGGGUUUACCUAUAGCCGAGAAGACGCCUUUCACCGGUCCCGGGACUUCUCUUACUCCUCUGGUUAUUGCUAAGGAUCUCUACCUCAAGACUUCCGACGUCUCCAACCAUCUUAUUACCAAGUCUCACAUCCGGGGGUUCACUUCAAAGUAUCUUCUUGAUCAAGCUAAUCUCAGUACUACUUGUCAGGAUACGCUCGAGGCUAUUCUUGCUUUGCUUAUCUACGGGCUCAUUCUCUUUCCGAACCUCGACAACUUCGUGGACAUGAAUGCUAUCGAGAUCUUCCAUUCCAAGAACCCGGUUCCUACUUUGCUAGCGGAUACCUACCACGCCAUUCAUGACAGGACUCUCAAGGGCCGUGGGUAUAUUCUUUGCUGCACAUCUCUUUUGUAUAGGUGGUUUAUUUCGCACCUUCCGAGUUCCUUCCAUGAUAACUCGGAGAACUGGUCCUACUCGCAGCGGAUUAUGGCCCUCACUCCUAAUGAGGUCGUCUGGCUCACUCCGGCCGCUCAAGUGAAGGAAAUCAUUAUGGGUUGUGGAGACUUUCUCAAUGUACCUCUUCUUGGUACCCGUGGAGGAAUCAACUACAAUCCCGAGCUUGCUAUGAGACAGUUUGGUUUCCCUAUGAAGUCGAAGCCCAUCAAUCUUGCUACAUCUCCAGAGUUCUUCUUCUACACGAAUGCUCCUACCGGACAAAGGAAAGCUUUCAUGGAUGCUUGGUCCAAGGUUCGAAGGAAGAGUGUGAAGCAUCUAGGUGUGAGAUCCGGUGUUGCUCAUGAGGCCUAUACUCAGUGGGUGAUAGAUCGAGCUGAGGAGAUUGGUAUGCCUUAUCCAGCUAUGAGAUACGUGUCUUCAUCCACUCCGUCUAUGCCUCUACCUCUACUUCCCGCGACUCAGGAUAUGUAUCAGGAGCAUCUAGCUAUGGAGAGUCGUGAGAAGCAAGUGUGGAAAGCUCGGUACAAUCAAGCUGAGAAUCUAAUCAUGACUUUGGAUGGUAGAGAUGAGCAGAAGACUCAUGAGAAUUUAAUGUUGAAGAAAGAACUAGCUAAGGCCCGGAAGGAAUUGGAAGAGAAAGACGAGCUGCUUAUGAGGGAUUCCAAGAGAGCCAAAGGACGACGAGACUUCUUUGCCAGAUACUGUGAUUCAGAUUCCGAGUCCGAUGAUCUUCCGACUACUUCCCAUGCUUGAGGGCUUCAUGUGUUUAUUUCAAAGUCUUUCUGUUAAGAAUGCUAUGUAGUUUUGAUUAUUUGCAAGAUUUCUAAUUUGUUUAAAAAUCCUUCGAUGAAAAAAUAAGUCUUUCGCAUUUGCAUUUGCAUGUCAUGCAUCAUACACAUCAUGCAUUGGUCACAAAGGCUUCCAGGUGCUUACCACCUCCUGGUUUCUCUGCCGCAGUGUGAAAAGUGGCUCGUGCUCAGAGAGUUUACGAACCGGAUAGAAUUGAUCGAACCAGAGAAUACAGAAGAAAGAAAAGGGCUAUGGAAGAAGAGAACACACAGCUUCGUACCGAAUUGGCAUCUCUAAGGGAGGAAUUGGCCAAAGCUCAUGAUGCUAUGACUGCUCUGUUGGCUGCUCAGGAACAACCAGUUCCUGUAGUUUCUACAGCUGCAAAUGUGACUCCUACCGUAACAACUGAUCCCCGCUCUAUCAUGCCAUCCGGGUAUCCUUACGGGCUUCCGCUGUACUAUACUACUAAUACAGGGGCAGGGACCUCUGGUACUGCCAACAAUGGCCCAAUCCCAGGGGCAAAUUUAACUCCUAUUAGUACCGCCUUGACUCAAGCUGCAACAACUGUUACCGAGCCCAUUGUGAAUGCGGUGCCUCUAUUUGUCCAUGCUAAUGCGCACCACGGGAGUAUUGCCACAACCGGAACUAUGGAAGAGAGAAUGGAAGAACUUGCCAAAGAGCUCCGACGGGAAAUUAAGGCCAACAGGGGAAACGGAGACUCCAUUAAAACCCAGGAUCUCUGCUUAGUAUCGAAGGUAGAUGUUCCAAAAAAGUUCAAAGUCCCGGAGUUCGACAAAUAUAACGGGCUGACUUGUCCUCAAAAUCAUAUUGUCAAAUACGUCCGGAAGAUGGGCAACUACAAGGACAAUGAUUCCCUUAUGAUCCAUUACUUCCAAGACAGUCUGAUGGAAGAUGCUGCAGAGUGGUAUACUAGUCUGAGCAAAGAUGAUGUCCAUACCUUUGAUGAGCUAGCCACCGCUUUCAGGAGCCACUACGGGUUUAACACUCGUUUGAAGCCGAAUAGGGAGUUCCUCAGGUCCCUAUCUCAGAAAAAGGAGGAGAGUUUCCGUGAAUAUGCGCAAAGGUGGAGAGGGGCAGCUGCCCGUAUCACUCCUGCUUUAGAUGAAGAAGAAAUGACCCAGACAUUCUUAAAGACCUUGAAGAAAGAUUAUGUUGAGAGGAUGAUCAUCGCCGCCCCGAACAACUUUUCGGAGAUGGUCACUAUGGGAACCCGUCUUGAGGAAGCCGUCAGGGAUGGAAUCAUUGUGUUUGAGAAAGCUGAAUCCUCUGUGAGUGCAUCGAAGAGAUAUGGUAAUGGACACCACAAGAAGAAAGAAACGGAAGUGGGGAUGGUGUCAGCUGGAGCCGGUCAAUCAAUGGCUACUGUUGCUCCUAUCAAUGCAGCUCAAAUGCCUCCGUCAUACCUAUAUAUGCCGUAUUCUCAGCAUCCAUUCUUCCCACCGUUUUAUCAUCAGUACCCUUUGCCACCGGGCCAGCCUCAAGUGCCCGUCAAUGCAAUUGCCCAACAGAUGAAACAACAGUUGCCGGUUCAACAACAACAACAACAACAACAACAGCAGCAGCAGUAUACUAGACCAACUUUUCCUCCUAUACCAAUGUUGUAUGCAGAACUUCUUCCAACUUUACUCCAGAGAGGACACUGCACGACUAGACAGGGUAAGCCCCCACCUGAUCCGUUGCCUCCAAGGUUCAGGUCUGAUCUCAAAUGUGAUUUUCAUCAAGGUGCCUUAGGUCAUGAUGUCGAGGGGUGUUAUGCUUUGAAGUAUAUCGUGAAGAAGCUCAUUGACCAGGGAAAGCUGACUUUUGAGAAUAAUGUUCCACAUGUCCUUGACAAUCCUCUUCCAAAUCAUGCCGCUGUGAAUAUGAUCGAAGUGUGUAAGGAAGCUCCUAGACUUGAUGUCCGCAAUGUUGCCACUCCUCUGGUGCCUCUGCACAUCAAGCUGUGCAAAGCUUCUCUGUUCAGCCAUGAUCAUGCCAAGUGUCUAGGAUGCCUCUGUGAUCCUUUGGGCUGCUAUACUGUUCAAGACGACAUCCAAAGCCUGAUGGAUGAUAAUCUUCUGACUGUCAGUGAUGUUUGCGUGGUCGUGCCAGUUUUUCACGAUCCGCCUGUCAAGAGUGUACCUUUGAAGAAGAAUGCUGAGCCUUUGGUGAUAAGGUUGCCAGGACCAAUUCCUUAUGUUUCGGACAAGGCAGUGCCAUACAAAUACAAUGCUACUAUGAUAGAAAAUGGAGUAGAGGUGCCUCUAGCCUCCUUUGCCACAGUAAGCAAUAUUGCCGAAGGGACUUCUGCAGCGCUAAGAAGCGGGAAGGUUCGUCCGCCAUUAUUUCAGAAGAAGGUAGCUACGCCAAUCACUCCACCAGUUGAAGAAGCAACUCCAACCGUUGUUUCACCCAUUGCUACAGAUGUGAAUCAGCCAGGCAAAUCUAUAGAGGAUUCGAAUUUAGAUGAGAUUCUGAGAAUAAUAAAGAGGAGCGACUACAAGAUCGUUGAUCAGUUGCUGCAGACUCCUUCAAAGAUAUCCGUCUUGUCACUACUCUUGAGCUCUGAGGCUCACAGGAAUACCUUGUUGAAAGUGCUGGAGCAGGCUUAUGUUGACCACGAAGUCUCGGUAGAUUCGGUUUCGGUGGCAUAGGUGGGAAAUAUUACUGCUUGUAACAACCUCUGGUUUAGUGAAGAAGAGUUGCCGGAAGUGGGAAAGGGUCACAAUCUGGCUUUGCACAUCUCGGUGAAUUGUAAAUCAGACAUGAUAUCAAAUGUGUUGGUGGAUACCGGUUCCUCUCUCAAUGUAAUGCCCAAGACAACUCUAGAUCAGUUGAGCUACCGUGGGACCCCUUUGAGAAGAAGUACUUUCUUGGUCAAAGCUUUUGACGGAUCUCGAAAGAAUGUGCUGGGGGAGAUAGACUUGCCGAUAACCAUUGGCCCUGAGAAUUUCUUGGUUACCUUCCAAGUGAUGGACAUUAAUGCAUCCUACAGUUGCCUGCUGGGAAGACCGUGGAUACACGAUGCAGGUGCGGUUACUUCCACCUUACAUCAGAAGUUGAAAUUUAUGAAGAAUGGAAAACUCGUUACAAUCCAUGGUGAAGAAGCAUACUUAGUCAGCCAGUUGUCUUCUUUCUCUUGUAUUGAAGCAGGGUCUGCUGAAGGGACUGCUUUCCAAGGUUUGACCAUUGAAGGUGCAGAGUCUAAGGAAGCUGGGGCUGCUAUGGCUUCAUUGAAGGAUGCUCAGAGAGCCAUCCAAGAAGGUCAGACUGCCGGCUGGGGCAAGAUGAUACAGCUCUGUGAGAACAAGCGUAAAGAAGGUCUCGGGUUCUCCCCGUCAUCAAGGGUUUCCUCGGGAGUCUUCCACAGUGCAGGGUUUGUUAAUGCUAUCUCUGAAGAAGCCACUGGAUCUGGUCUCAGGCCUGUAUUUGUUACACCAGGAGGCAUUGCGACAAAUUGGGAUGCCAUUGACAUUCCUUCAAUCAUGCAUGUUUCUGAGUAAUGUGUCUUGUUGCUUUAGUGCUUUGUUUUCAAAAUAACAACCCUCUCGCUCUGCCCAAAGCGAGAGUGAUAUUUUCUGUAAGGGCAUGCUUGUUUCGGCAUUGCCGUUGAUUAAUAAAAUUUUGUCGUUUCUUCCACGACUACUUUUUUUUAGUGCUUUUUCCCUUGGAAACAAUGGUAAUGCCAGAAAAAACCAAAACGUCUGUAUUUUCUUAAUUUCAAAAAUCUGCAUGAAAAAAAAAAAAAACUACUUUCUAAAAUCAUCCAAUCAUUAUAUGCAGGUUGAACCAUAAUAAACCCUUUGAACACAGUAAUCCUACGGUUCCUCCAAGUUUUGAUUUCCCUGUGUAUGAAGCCGAAGAUGAGGAAGGUGAUGACAUACCGUAUGAGAUCACUCGGUUACUUGAGCAAGAAAAGAAAGCCAUUCAGUCUCACCAAGAAGAGAUUGAGCUUAUCAACAUAGGUACCGAGGAAAACAAGCAAGAAAUCAAGAUUGGUGCUACUCUAGAGGAAGGGGUUAAACAGAAGAUCAUCCAACUCCUCCGGGAAUAUCCGGAUAUUUUUGCAUGGUCCUAUGAAGAUAUGCCAGGUCUAGACCCUAUGAUCGUGGAGCAUCGGAUCCCUACCAAGCCUGAAUGUCCUCCCGUCAGGCAGAAAUUGAGAAGGACUCAUCCCGAUAUGGCUCUCAAGAUUAAGAGUGAAGUUCAAAAGCAGAUUGAUGCGGGUUUCCUCAUGACAGUUGAGUAUCCCGAAUGGGUUGCCAAUAUUGUGCCUGUGCCAAAGAAGGAUGGUAAAGUCCGGAUGUGUGUUGACUUCAGGGACCUGAACAAAGCCAGUCCAAAGGACAACUUUCCAUUACCUCAUAUUGAUGUGCUUGUUGAUAAUACUGCUCAAUCUAAGGUGUUCUCCUUCAUGGACGGUUUUUCCGGUUAUAAUCAGAUCAAAAUGUCUCCUGAAGAUAGAGAAAAGACAUCUUUUAUCACUCCAUGGGGUACUUUCUGCUACAAAGUGAUGCCGUUCGGCCUAAUCAAUGCUGGUGCUACCUACCAAAGGGGAAUGACCACUCUGUUUCAUGACAUGAUUCACAAAGAAGUCGAAGUAUAUGUGGAUGAUAUGAUUGUGAAGUCAGCAGAUGAGGAGCAGCAUGUUGAAUAUUUAACAAAGAUGUUUGAAAGGUUGAGAAAAUACAAGCUGCGAUUGAAUCCCAACAAAUGUACAUUCGGUGUCAGGUCUGGAAAGUUAUUAGGCUUCAUUGUCAGCCAAAAGGGCAUUGAAGUCGAUCCUGAUAAAGUCCGGGCCAUCCGAGAAAUGCCAGCUCCACAGACAGAGAAGCAAGUCAGAGGUUUCUUGGGACGUUUGAAUUACAUCUCCCGAUUCAUAUCUCAUAUGACUGCAACCUGCGGGCCAAUCUUCAAGCUACUCAGAAAGAACCAGCCUAUUGUAUGGAAUGAUGAAUGCCAAGAAGCUUUUGAUAGCAUCAAGAAUUACCUGCUGGAACCACCUAUCCUUGUCCCACCCGUGGAAGGAAGGCCUUUGAUUAUGUAUUUGGCAGUAUUUGAUGAAUCCAUGGGAUGUGUACUUGGUCAACAAGAUGAAACCGGAAAGAAAGAGCAUGCUAUCUACUAUCUAAGCAAGAAGUUCACCGAUUGUGAAACUCGGUAUACAAUGCUUGAAAAGACUUGUUGUGCUCUAGCUUGGGCUGCCAAACGCCUGCGUCAUUAUUUGGUGAAUCAUACGACUUGGCUGAUAUCCAGAAUGGAUCCGAUAAAGUAUAUCUUUGAGAAAGCUGCUGUUACUGGAAAGAUUGCACGCUGGCAGAUGCUUUUGUCUGAAUAUGAUAUUGUGUUCAAAACUCAAAAGGCAAUCAAAGGCAGCAUUCUUGCCGAUCACCUUGCUUAUCAACCUCUUGAUGAUUACCAACCAAUUGAAUUUGAUUUCCCUGAUGAAGAGAUCAUGUAUUUGAAAUCCAAAGACUGCGACGAACCGUUGAUUAAUGAAGGUCCAGAUCCCAAUAGCAAGUGGGGUUUAGUCUUUGAUGGUGCUGUCAAUGCUUAUGGCAAAGGAAUCGGGGCAGUCAUUGUAUCCCCGCAAGGGCAUCACAUUCCCUUUACCGCCCGAAUUCUGUUCGAAUGUACCAACAACAUGGCUGAGUAUGAAGCAUGUAUCUUCGGGAUCGAGGAAGCAAUUGACAUGAGAAUCAAACACCUCGACAUCUAUGGAGAUUCUGCGCUCGUCAUCAAUCAGAUAAAAGGUGAAUGGGAGACCCACCAUGCUAAGUUGAUUCCUUAUCGUGAUUAUGCGAGACGUCUUCUGACAUAUUUUACAAAGGUUGAGCUGCAUCAUAUUCCUCGUGAUGAGAACCAAAUGGCUGAUGCUCUUGCUACUCUAUCCUCCAUGUUUCGAGUAAACCAUUGGAAUGAUGUGCCAAUAAUCAAAGUGCAACGCCUUGAAAGACCUUCACAUGUGUUUGCUAUUGGGGAUGUGAUCGAUCAGGCUGGUGAAAAUGUGGUUGACUAUAGACCCUGGUACUAUGACAUCAAGCAGUUCUUGCUGAGCCGUGAGUAUCCGCCAGGUGCUUCCAAACAAGACAAGAAGACCUUGAGAAGAUUGGCCGGUAGAUUCCUGUUAGAUGGAGAUAUUCUGUACAAGAGGAACUAUGACAUGGUACUGUUGAGGUGUGUUGAUGAACAUGAAGCAGAGCAGUUAAUGCAUGAUGUACAUGACGGUACCUUCGGGACCCAUGCUACAGGGCAUACUAUGUCAAGAAAGUUGCUACGGGCAGGUUACUACUGGAUGACUAUGGAGCAUGAUUGCUACCAGUACGCCAGAAAAUGCCACAAAUGUCAAAUCUAUGCUGAUAAGAUUCAUGUGCCUCCGCAUGCUCUCAAUGUUAUGUCAUCCCCAUGGCCGUUCUCAAUGUGGGGCAUCGACAUGAUUGGAAGAAUUGAACCGAAGGCUUCAAAUGGUCAUCGUUUCAUCUUAGUGGCAAUUGACUACUUUACCAAAUGGGUUGAAGCAGCAUCUUAUACCAAUGUGACCAAGCAAGUGGUAGCUAAGUUCAUCAAGAACAACAUCAUCUGUCGAUAUGGUGUUCCCAGCAAGAUUAUUACCGACAAUGGUACCAACCUGAACAACAAUGUGGUGCAAGCUCUUUGUGAAGAAUUCAAAAUUGAGCAUCAUAACUCUUCUCCCUAUAGACCUCAGAUGAAUGGUGCAGUUGAGGCCGCCAAUAAGAAUAUCAAGAGAAUCAUCCAGAAGAUGGUAACCACUUACAAGGACUGGCAUGAGAUGUUACCCUAUGCUCUGCAUGGCUACCGUACUACUGUGCGCAGUUCAACCGGGGCAACCCCUUUCUCUCUUGUAUAUGGUAUGGAAGCAGUUCUUCCUUUGGAAGUGGAGAUCCCAUCUCUCCGUGUGAUUAUGGAAGCAAAGUUAUCUGAGGCUGAAUGGUGCCAAAGCCCGGUAUGAUCAGUUGAAUUUGAUUGAGGAAAAACGUAUGGAUGCCAUGGCUCGUGGACAGUCAUAUCAAGCAAGAAUGAAGACUGCCUUUGACAAGAAAGUCCAUCCUCGGGAAUUCAAGGUAGAGGAACUUGUAUUGAAAAGGAGGAUAAGCCAGCAACCCGACCCAAGGGGCAAGUGGACGCCUAACUAUGAAGGUCCUUAUGUUGUCAAGAAGGCCUUCUCCGGUGGUGCUUUAAUCCUUACACACAUGGAUGGUGUAGAACUUCCAAAUCCAGUGAAUGCCGAUAUAGUCAAGAAAUACUUUGCCUAGAAAUAUGAAAAGAACAGCGUGGUAGGUCGAAAACCCGAAAGGGCGGCCUAGGCAAAAAUGCGCUUCCCGGUGGAUCGAAAACCCGAAAGGGCGGUCCAGGCAAAAAUAAGGGACAAAAAAAAACAAAUAUGAAAAGCUCGCUGAGAUUGUACGCAACUCAGGCAAGAAUGAGCGUCUCGAUGAGCCGAAAACCCGGAAGGGCGGUUCAUGCAAAAAUGAGAUUGAAACAAAAGGCAAGUAACUAUAUCUGGCCAACCACCGUCCCCCUUGGGGCAUCUGCAGCUGUUAAUGACCAUUUUCAUCAAAAGCUCUUAUGCUUGCGAAUUCAAAGUUUCUAGGAGAUGUCAUGAUUACUGUGUUCAAUGUACCACCAACCAAUAAAAUUACCAUUUUCCAAGCUUUGUAAAUCCGUGGAGUCACGCCUUCGGCUGACCACCACUCUUAUACAUCUAUUUGAGCUUGUGCUUUUGUUUGAAACUCUGCUUUCUUUUUACUUUCAAAGCUAUAUACAAAACAUUUUCUUUCUAUUUUGAUAAUGAUAAUGCUCGAAACAAACAUUUUGAAAAUUGAAAAAGUUUUUUUGAAAAGCAAACCUGAGCAACAGGGUACAUUCAAAUGAGACAUGCAUGAGCGAGAGUAUGUUGAUGUCUAUUUUAAUAUGUGUUACAAGCAGGUUCUCCUCCAGGAUAGUCUUUGGUCAAUGGCAAGAAUGAAAAAACAGAAUGAAAAUGCAUGAAAAUGAAAAGGCUCGCUAAGUUGAAAACCCGGAAGGGCGGCUUAGGCAAGAAUGAGCACCCCGCUGGAUUGAAAACCCGAAAGGGCAGUUCAGGCAAAAAUGGGGCAUUGAAAAGAAUUUAUUUCCCCGGUGGAUCGAAAACCCGAAAGGGCGAUCCAGGCAAAAAUGGGAUGCAAAAAAUGAAUGAAUGAAAUUGAGAAAAUAACAUGCAAAAAGCAUUGACCAUAGAUGCGACGUCCACGAUACAUCCGGCAUUAUUCCCAGUAGAGUCUUCCGAGAUUCUAUCCCCAGCGAGUCGCAUACCUACCUGCCCUCAGCCAUGGUUCCAAUACGUCUCCCAACGACGUCAUCUCCAAAGAGGAUUUCCAAGAAUGUGUAAUAUAGCACGAGCCACUACGUGCCCAAUACUCUGAUGUCUUGUCUUCCCCGUGAAGUCGUGCCUACAAAAUGCCAACAGUCAUGCAUUACAAGCAUUCAUACAUGCAUAAUCAUGCAUAUUACGUGCCCAUGCAUUUAAUGAAACUGUUAUAUCAUCCGUGCAUACUGCAUUUCCAAUGUCAACAUCAGUCUCAAUUCGAUACUCAUGUCAGGUUCUCUGUCAAAACCUUGUGAGCCAAUAAUAUCGGUCAAUUUCUGCCUUUCAAUUCGAAUCGACGUUAAGUCAAUCUCAAUCUAUAUUUUGUCAAAACAAACCAAUCCCCCGUGAAUAUGUUUCUGUUUGGUCAAGUGGCUAGCUCAAUCCAAGAGCAGCUUGUACCUGUCUAUCUGUUUCUGUCCGGUGGAGUAACCAGUUCGCAUCCAAGAACAAGCUCACACCUGUUUAUUUGCCUUUGCUUUCGGUCGAGUGACCAGUUCGAAUCCAAGAACAACUCGUACCUAUCUACUUUUCCAUGACCCCGGUCGAGUUACCAGUUCGAAUCCAAGAACAGCUCGUACCUGUCUAUGUGUCUAUGAUUUUGGGUCAAGUGGCUAGUUCAAGUCCAAGAACAGCUUGUACCCGUCUAUCUGUUUCCAUUCGCUCAAGUGGCUAGCUCGAUCCAAGAGCAGCUUGCGCCUGUCUAUUUUGUAUUUGUCUCCGGUGGAGUAACCAGUUCGCAUCCAAGAACAAGCUCGCACCUGUCUAUUUGCCUUGCUUUCAGUCGAGUAACUAGUUCGAAUCCCUAAGAACAGCUCGUACCUGCCAAUUUUACAUGUUUUCAGUCGAGUCACCAGUUCGAAUCCGUAAGAACAACUCGUACUUGUCAAUUUUCUCUUUUUUUCCAGUCGGGUCACCAGUUCGAAUCCAUAAGAACAACUCGCACUUUCCAAUAUCCCCAAGUGAGUUACCAGUUCGAAUCCAUAAGAACAACUCAUGUUUGUCCAGUAACCUCUAUCCCCUGUGAAGUGACCAGUUCAAAUCCAUAAGAACAACUCGCAGUUGUCUGUUUGUUUCAUUCCCGGUCAAGUGGCUAGUUUGAAUCCAAGAACAGCUUGUACCUGUCCAACUUGUUUCUAGUUUCCCGUUACUCUGCUAUUCACUAUCUUUGUCAAUGUCUACCAAUCCCGCAAUGGAUACGACAUAUUUUGUUAAUUCUAAUCCCCAUGAGGUCUUGCAUUCAUAAUCCAAAUGAUGCAUGGCAUGCAUAUUAUUUGAAAAUGGGUAGGCGUAUUUUUACGUCCAAACACAGUGCAAAUGCUAAUAUUUAAGUAUCUUCGUCCUGUCAAGCCAAAGACUCCGUCUCUUGACUCUCCAGACAAAGAAACUUAAAUAGGGGCAGCUGUUAUACCCUGUUUUUGGACCUAAAAAUACUGGGCCCAAUUUCAUUUCAAACUUUGUUAAUUGUCAAAUUUCAACUGCACAGUUCAAAUUGUCUCUGCCUCGCAGUAUUUUCAAUCACAAUUUUACCUAUGUUUUUCUUGCAUAAAACCUUUUGAAAUGUCUUUACUUGUCUUGUAAGUCAUUCAAAAGUGUCUCUGAAUCAUUACAUUGCUUUUUCUACAGUUUAUUUCAAAAUUUGCAAAAAGUCAUACAGAAGGGUAUUUUGGUCAUUUCCUGCAGUGGGACCCAUUUUCAUCCUUGUGACUGUCUCUGAGUCUUUUCAGAUUGAUUUUUUCAGUAAACCCUGCUAAUUUCAUUUCAAACUUGCAUCUGAGUCAGUGUCGAGUCAUUUUGGCUCUGUUUAGGUCAUUUUUAGCCCUAGGGGCAUUUUGGUCAUUUCACACAAAAUUUUGGCAUGGGGAGGUUACUUUGAAGUACCUCAUUUAAGCCAUUGGUUCGUUUUAGUCCUUUUGUCAAUUUUACUUUGGGUUUCACUUUACGUUUUGUCAGUUUACGUUUUUAUCCAAUUUUAUUUUGUUUUUACCUUUUUGUCAUUUUGGUUCCCAAAAGGGUCCAAAAUUGCAUUUCAGUCUAGUUUCUUUUUCAAUUCAUAUUUCAGUCCAGAAUUUUUUUUUAUUUUAUUUUACUUUUCAGUCCUUUCUUUGUAAAUUUCAUUUCAGUCCCUUAACUUUUUAAUUUUGCAGAAAAGGCCCAAUGUCAAAUUUGCAUUUUUUUAGUCAAGAUCCAGGUGGCGCAAUUCAAUUGGGUCAGAGGCAAUACAUGUCAGCUAUAAAUGGAGCCAAGUGUAAGAUUCAAUGCCAUUAACUACACGCCAACUCAACAAACACAAUCAAGUUUCUCUCUCCUUUCUGUUAAAGAUCAAAAAUCAGAAAUUCUCAAGAACAUGAAGAACACAAAACCCUAACCGUUUCCAGAAAGUGACAAAAUUCAUCAAGUUUCAGUGUUUUUCGUAUCAAUUCUCAGAGAUUCGUAUGAAUCUUCAUCACUGAAUUGAUCAUUCUCUGCAAUUCCAAACGCGAGCUCGCAUUGAAGCAAGCUCAAGCGUUGAUCACAGAGCGUGAAAAGAAGAGGGAAAGAAGCAAAGUUCUAAACCGGCGAAGAAGAUGAAGAAACGGAAUCAGUGAGAAAAGGAGAAUCACCGAUUUAUUUUCGGUCCAAGAACAAGCAAAGGAAUCAAAAAACCAGCAAGAACAUUCAAGUUUUCCCAAAGAUUUCCUCCAUUAAAGGUUUCAACCAAAACCUUAGGUAAAACUCAGAAUCUUUUCUCAGAAAUAAUAUCACUGUUAAACCUAAAAAUCACGUAAGCAAAACAGAUCCAAAAUUUCCAGAAUUCAAAGCCAAAACUAUAACCGUAAACACCAAAACCUAGAUCCGUGAGGAUCAAAGUUUUGAAAGCAAGAACAAGUACCAGAAAAGCAGUGAAUAACGAAACGAUGUAGAUUCUUAAAGAUCCAAACGUUUUCGUUCAAAAAGAUCAAAAAAUCAGUUUCAAAACCGUACAAAGUUUUUUCAGAUCUACAUCACUUCAAGCUGUAUUUGAGAAAUUUCUUGAUAGAUUCGUGUUUAGGGUUAAAGGACGAAUCAAAAGAUGCAAAAAUAUUUGAGUUCUGGAAAUUUUUCACCGGAAACUGCUAGGUCUCGCCGGAGAAGAUGAAGUUUCCGGCGGACCUUCAAGGUCUCCGCCGUAGCUUCAUCCUCACCGGCGGUGAGGGUUUAGAGAGAGAUGAGAGAAGAGAGAGGGGUUAGAGAGAGAAAGAAGAAUACGAAAUGAAAAAACCGGCGCGCUAGGGUUUAUAUAGAGUGCUAGACCGGACCGGUUCAAGACCGGUCCAAUCCCAUGCGUUGUGAGCCCUUAGAUCUAGGGUUUGGGAUCUUGGAUCAAUCCAACGAUCCCUGAGCGUUCCUGUGAGAUCCGGAUCCCUUGGCUUUGGGCCUGGGCCUCUUUUCUUUGCUUUUCUACGUUUUUGCUUUUUUUGUGCUAUUUGCACCGUAUUUCCUUGCUAUCUGCACCUAUUGCUUGUUUACUUCUUUUACAAAAAUUCCUAAAAAAUCCUAGUUGUUUCUUGAUGUAUUUUUGGUAUGUCUAUGGUAUUUUUGCAUGUAAAAAAAAUGUUAAAAUGGCAUGAACCAAUUCCAUGUAUUUUUGUACUUUUGGUAUGCAUUUUGCUAUGUUUUGUUCUUGACAUUUUGAUAGUAUGACAUGGAUAAAUGAUGCCUAAUAUUGUGGUGAAUAUAACUCUGGAAAUGUGCUUUUGUUUGCUAUUUGUGAAUAUGAUUUUAUGGAUUUCUUGUUUUACAAGCAACAAGUGUUUAUUUUUAGGAAUAAAGUAGGAAAUUUCUUCAUGAAUUUGGUAUGGUAUUUUGCUUGCACAUGUCUCCAUUAAUUGCAUGUCAUGGUUUAAAACAAAAUUUCUUUCAAAAUUGCCAUGAUGUGAUAAUUAUGGGUCACUAGCAUCUUUAGGUAUCAUAUCAAAUGUUUUUUUUAGGUUUUUACUACUUUGUUACUUUUUCUUUGCCAUUCUUAUGCACUUCCUUUUGAUUAUUUCCUACUAUUUUGUGCUUUAUAAUUACUAACCAUUUCAUCUCAUGUGCCAUACAUUCCAUAGCAUUCCACCACUCUCUCCACUUUCUUUAGCUUAGCAUUUAUUUUUAUUUUUUUGCAAGUUUUAAUUCAUUUGGUAAUGUAAUUUGUUAUCAUUGGUUUGUAGCUUGGCAAAGGGGCCAUAGAAUGUAUUUAGGCAAUUUUUGUAAUAUGGACUAUGGACACUAUGACGCACCGACACGCACACACUCACCUUAGAUGUAUGCAUAGGAUUGUAUGGUUAAAUAAGCGUUUAGGUUUUAAACACUUAGAGAAAAUCCAUCUUUUUUCAAAAAAAAAAAACAAUUGAACUUCACUUCAAAAAUUUUCAUAAUAAAUAUGAAGUCAACACUUCACUUUUUCCUUUCUUUUUUUUAAGAAAAAUUCAAUUCAUCUUAAUCAUUUAGACUUUCUUUUCAAUCACUAAUCAAACCUCACUUUUUUGCUAAAUCUCAUGCUCAUGAAGCCUCCCAAUCUCCUUCUUCAAAAUCAUUUUCAAAAUUUAAAAUCAAACAAUUAAAACAAAAAAACAACAAGUCUUUUUAGCAAGAACUACGCCGGUUUUGAUCCCGUAAAACGGUACGUAGGCAAGGGACUUUAACCCCUCCAAGCCGAAAUAAAAUUAAAUUCUACUUCUUCUCACCCCCAUUCUUCACUCAAAUAAAACUUCUUUUCCUUCAAUAAGUAGGCAAUAAAAAAUAAAGCGUAGAAAUCAACUUAGGAGAGCGGCUCUUAUGGAGUACCAUAAUCGCUCCGGGUGCCUAACACCUUCCCGUAGCGAAAACGACCCCCGAAUUUAGAAUCUAAGGGUUUUUUCUCGAUUUUGCCCUUCCCAAGAAAAAAUAGAGAAUAUCAACGGUCGAAAGGUUCAAGUCCAAUUAAUGGCUUGGCACCCAAAAACCAUGAUAACAACUUGAUGUCCGUAACGUCGCAACUCCCCUGGUGCCUCUACACAUCAAGCUGUGCAAAGCUUCUCUGUUCAGCCAUGAUCAUGCCAAGUGCCUAGGAUGCCUUCGUAAUGCUUUGAGUUGUUAUACUGUUCAAGAUGACAUCCAAAGCUUGAUGAAUGAUAAUUUUUUGACUGUUAGUGAUGUAUGCGUGAUUGUGCCAGUUUUUCACGAUCCGCCUGUCAAGAGUAUGCCUUUGAAGAAAAAUGCUGAGCCUUUGGUGAUAAGGUUGCCCGGACCGGUACCGUAUACUUCAGAUAGGGCUAUCCCGUAAAAAUAUAAUGCUACCAUAAUUGAAAACGGAGUAGAAGUGCCUCUGGUGUCCUUGGCUGUGGUGAACAAUACCGCCGAAGGAACUUCAGCAGCCCUAAGAAGCGGAAGAGUCCGUCCACCGUUGUUUCAAAAGAAGGCAGCUACGCCUACCGUGCCACCCAUUGACAAACCAACCCCGACUGAUGUUUCUCCAGUUAACAGAGACGCGAGCCAACCAGGCCGGUCUAUAGAGGAUUCUAAUCUGGACGAGAUUUUGAGGUUGAUCAAAAGAAGUGAUUAUAAGAUUGUAGAUCAGCUGCUGCAAACUCCGUCGAAGAUAUCCAUUUUGUCUCUACUCCUGAGUUCCGCUGCCCACAGAGAUACCCUUUUGAAAGUAUUGGAGCAGGCUUAUGUGGAUCAUGAAGUAACUGUGGAUCACUUUGGUAGCAUAGUGGGGAACAUUACCGCCUGCAGCAAUCUGUGGUUCAGUGAAGAUGAAUUGCCCGAAGCAGGAAAGCAUCAUAAUCUGGCCUUGCAUAUCUCCGUAAAUUGCAAGUCCGACAUGAUCUCAAAUGUGUUAGUAGACACUGGCUCAUCUUUGAACGUGAUCGCCCAAGUCAACGUUGGAUCAGCUGGAGUUACCGGGGAACUCCCUUGAGGAGGAGCACUUUUCUGGUCAAAGCCCUUGAUGGAACCCGCAAGAGCGUUCUCGGGGAGAUAGACUUGCCAAUAACUAUUGGCCCCGAAACCUUUCUAAUCACGUUUCAGGUCAUGGAUAUUAAUGCCUCUUACAGCUGUCUCUUGGGGAGACCAUGGAUACACGACGCGGGAGCAGUGACCUCUACUUUGCACCAAAAGUUGAAAUUUGCAAAAAGUGGAAAGCUUGUUACCAUUCAUGGAGAGGAAGCAUACCUGGUUAGCCAGCUAUCAUCUUUCUCUUGCAUAGAGGCAGGGUCUGCAGAGGGGACCGCUUUUCAAGGAUUAACUGUCGAAGGUACGGAGCCUAAGGAGGGAUGGAACUGCCAUGGCUUCUUUGAAGGAUGCACAGAGAGCCGUCCAAGAGGGUCAAGCUGCCGGCUGGGGCAAGUUAAUACAGCUUCGUGAGAACAAGCAUAAGGAAGGUCUUGGCUUCUCCCCAACUUCAGGAAUUUCCACCGGGGCAUUCUAUAGUGCUGGGUUUGUCAACGCAAUCACAGAAGAAGCAACCGGAUUUGACCCGAGGCCUGUAUUUGUUAUACCAGGAGGCAUUGCGAGAGAUUGGGAUGCCAUUGACAUUCCCUCAAUCAUGCAUGUUUCUGAGUAAUAUACCUUGUUGCUUAAGUAUCUUGUUUUUUCAAAAUAACAAUCCUCUCGCUCUGCCCAAAGCGAGAGUGAUAUUUUCUGUAAGGGCAUGUUUGUUUCGGCAUUGCCGUUGAUUAAUAAAAAAUUUGUCGUUUCUUCCACGACUGCUUUUUUAGUGCUUUUUCCCUUGGAAAUAAUGGUAAUGCCAGAAAAAACCAAAACAUCUGUAUUUUCUUAUUAAUUUCAAAAAUCUGCAUAAAAAAACCUCCUUCUAAAAUCAUCCAAUCAUUUUACGCAGAUUGAACUAUAAUAAACCCGUUGGGCACGGUAAUCCUGCAUUCCCUCCGAAUUUUGAGUUCCCAGUGUAUGAAGCCGAAGAUGAGGAAGGUGAUGACAUACCAUAUGAGAUCACUCGGCUACUUGAGCAAGAAAAGAAAGCCAUUCAGCCUCACCAGGAAGAGAUUGAGCUCAUCAACAUAGGUACCGAGGAGAACAAGCGAGAAAUCAAGAUCGGUACUAUUCUAGAGGAAGGGGUUAAAAAGAAGAUCAUCCAACUCCUCUGGGAAUAUCCGGAUAUUUUUGCAUGGUCGUAUGAAGAUAUGCCAGGUCUAGAUCCUAUGAUUGUGGAGCAUCGGAUCCCCACCAAGCCUGAAUGUCCUCCCGUCAGGCAGAAAUUGAGAAGGACUCAUCCAGAUAUGGCUCUCAAGAUUAAGAGCGAGGUUCAAAAACAGAUUGAUGCGGGUUUCCUCAUGACAGUUGAGUACCCUGAAUGGGUUGCCAAUAUUGUACCUGUGCCAAAGAAGGAUGGUAAAGUCCGGAUGUGUGUUGACUUCAGAGACCUGAACAAAGCCAGUCCAAAAGACAACUUUCCAUUACCUCAUAUUGAUGUGCUUGUUGAUAAUACUGCUCAGUCUAAGGUGUUCUCCUUCAUGGAUGGUUUCUCCGGUUACAAUCAGAUCAAAAUGUCUCCUGAAGAUAGAGAAAAGACGUCUUUUAUCACUCCAUGGGGUACUUUCUGCUACAAAGUGAUGCUGUUCGGCCUAAUAAAUGCUGGUGCUACCUACCAAAGAGGAAUGACUACUCUGUUUCAUGACAUGAUUCACAAAGAAGUCGAAGUAUAUGUGGAUGAUAUGAUUGUGAAGUCAACAGAUGAGGAGCAACAUGUUGAGUAUUUGACAAAGAUGUUUGAAAGGUUGAGAAAAUACAAGCUUCGAUUGAAUCCCAACAAAUGUACAUUCGGCGUCAGAUCCGGGAAGUUAUUAGGCUUCAUUGUCAGCCAAAAGGGCAUUGAAGUCGAUCCUGAUAAAGUCCGGGCCAUCCGAGAAAUGCCAGCUCCACAGACCGAGAAGCAAGUCAGAGGUUUCCUCGGGCGUUUGAAUUACAUCUCCCGAUUUAUAUCUCACAUGACCGCAACCUGCGGGCCGAUCUUCAAGCUACUCAGAAAGAAUCAGCCUAUUGUAUGGAAUGAUGAAUGCCAAGAAGCUUUUGAUAGCAUCAAGAAUUACCUGCUGGAACCACCUAUCCUUGUCCCACCCGUGGAAGGAAGGCCUUUGAUUAUGUAUUUGGCAGUAUUUGAUGAAUCCAUGGGAUGCGUACUUGGUCAACAGGAUGAGACUGGAAAGAAAGAACAUGCUAUCUACUAUCUAAGCAAGAAGUUCACCGAUUGUGAAACUCGGUAUACAAUGCUUGAGAAGACUUGUUGUGCUUUGGCCUGGGCCGCUAAACGCCUGCGUCAUUAUUUGGUGAGUCAUACAACUUGGUUGAUAUCCAGAAUGGAUCCGAUAAAGUAUAUCUUUGAGAAAGCUGCUGUUACUGGGAAGAUUGCACGCUGGCAGAUGCUUUUGUCUGAAUAUGAUAUUGUGUUCAAAACUCAAAAGGCAAUCAAAGGUAGCAUUCUUGCCGAUCAUCUUGCUUACCAACCUCUUGAUGAUUAUCAACCAAUUGAGUUCGAUUUCCCCGAUGAAGAGAUCAUGUAUUUAAAAUCAAAAGACUGCGAAGAACCGUUGAUUGAUGAAGGUCCAGAUCCCAAUAGCAAGUGGGGUUUAGUCUUUGAUGGUGCUGUCAAUGCUUAUGGUAAAGGAAUUGGGGGCAGUCAUUGUAUCCCCGCAGGGGCAUCACAUCCCUUUUACCGCCCGAAUUUUGUUCGAAUGUACAAACAAUAUGGCUGAGUAUGAAGCAUGUAUCUUUGGGAUCGAGGAAGCAAUUGACAUGAGAAUCAAACACCUCGACAUCUAUGGAGAUUCCGCGCUCGUCAUCAAUCAGAUAAAGGGUGAAUGGGAGACCCAUCAUGCUAAGUUGAUUCCUUAUCGUGAUUAUGCGAGACGUUUGCUAACAUAUUUUACAAAGGUUGAGCUGCACCAUAUUCCUCGUAAUGAGAACCAAAUGGCUGAUGCUCUUGCUACUCUAUCCUCCAUGUUUCGAGUAAACCAUUGGAAUGAUGUGCCAAUAAUCAAAGUGCAACGCCUUGAAAGACCUUCACAUGUGUUUGCUAUUGGGGAUGUGAUCGAUCAGGCUGGUGAAAAUGUGGUUGACUAUAAACCCUGGUACUACGACAUCAAGCAGUUCUUGCUGAGCCGUGAGUAUCAGCCGGGUGCUUCCAAACAAGAUAAGAAGACCCUGAGAAGAUUGGCCAGUAGAUUCCUGUUAGAUGGAGAUAUUAUGUACAAGAGAAACUAUGACAUGGUAUUGUUAAGAUGUGUUGAUGAACAUGAAGCGGAGCAGUUAAUGCAUGAUGUACAUGACGGUACCUUCGGGACCCAUGCUACAGGGCAUACUAUGUCAAGGAAGUUGUUACGAGCAGGUUACUACUGGAUGGCCAUGGAGCAUGAUUGCUACCAGCACGCCAGAAAGUGCCACAAAUGUCAAAUCUAUGCUGAUAAGAUUCAUGUGCCUCCGCACGCUCUCAAUGUUAUUUCAUCCCCAUAGCCGUUCUCAAUGUGGGGCAUCGACAUGAUUGGAAGAAUUGAACCGAAGGCUUCAAAUGGUCAUCGUUUCAUCUUAGUGGCAAUUGACUACUUCACCAAGUGGGUUGAAGCAGCAUCUUAUACCAAUGUGACCAAGCAAGUGGUAGCUAAGUUCAUCAAGAACAACAUCAUUUGUCGAUAUGGUGUUCCCAGCAAGAUCAUUACCGACAAUGGUACAAACCUGAACAACAAUGUGGUGCAAGCUCUUUGUGAAGAAUUCAAAAUUGAGCAUCAUAACUCUUCUCCUUAUAGACCUCAGAUGAAUGGUGCAGUUGAGGCCGCCAACAAGAAUAUCAAGAGAAUUGUCCAGAAGAUGGUAACCACUUACAAGGACUGGCAUGAGAUGCUACCCUAUGCUCUGCAUGGCUACCGUACUACAGUGCGCAGUUCAACCGAGGCAACCCCUUUCUCUCUUGUAUAUGGUAUGGAAGCAGUUCUUCCUUUGGAAGUGGAGAUCUCAUCUCUCCGUGUGAUCAUGGAAGCAAAGUUAUCUGAGGCUGAAUGGUGCCAGAGCCGGUAUGAUCAGUUGAAUUUGAUUGAGGAAAAACGUAUGGAUACCAUGGCUCGUGGACAGUCAUAUCAAGCAAGAAUGAAGACUGCUUUUGACAAGAAAGUCCAUCCUCGAGAAUUCAAGGUAGGGGAACUUGUAUUGAAAAGGAGGGUAAGCCAACAACCCGAUCCAAGGGGCAAGUGGACGCCUAACUAUGAAGGUCCUUAUGUUGUCAAGAAGGCCUUCUCCGGUGGUGCUUUAAUCCUUACACACAUGGAUGGUGUAGAACUUCCAAAUCCUGUGAAUGCUGAUAUAGUCAAGAAAUACUUUGCCUAGACAUGUGAAAAGAACAGCGUGGUAGGUCGAAAACCCGAAAGGGCGGCCUAGGCAAAAAUGCGCUUCCCGGUGGAUCGAAAACCCGAAAGGGCGGUCCAGGCAAAAAUAAAGGGACGAAAAAAAAUAAAUAAUAUAUAUAAAGACUCGCUGAGAUUGUACACAACUCAGGCAAGAAUGAGCGUCUCGAUGAACCGAAAACCCGGAAGGGCGGUUCAUGCAAAAAUGAGAUUGAAACAAAAGGCAAGUAACUAUAUCUGGCCAACCACCGUCUCCCUUGGGGCAUCUGCAGCUGUUAAUGACUAUCUUCAUCAAAAGCUCCUACGCUUGCGAAUUCAAAGUCUCUAGGAAAUGUAAUGAUUACUGUGUUCAAUGUACCACCAACCAAUAAAAUUACCAUUUUCCAAGCUUUGUAAAUCCGUGGAGUCACGCCUUCGGCUGACCACCACUCUUAUACAUCAAUUUGAGCCUGUGCUUUUGUUUGAAACUCUGCUUUCUUUUUACUUUCAAAGUUAUGUACAAAAAACAUUUUCCUUCUAUUUUUAAUAAUGACAAAUGCUCGAAACAAGCAUCUUGAAAAUUGAAAAAGUUUUUUGAAAAGCAAACCUGAGCAACAGGGUACAUUCAAACGAGACAUGCAUGAGCUAGUGUGUGUUGGUGUCUAUUUCAAUAUAUGUUACAAGCAGGUUCUCCUCCAGGAUAGUCUGUGGUCAAUGGCAAGAAUGAAAAAACAGAAUGAAAAUGCAUGAAAAUGAAUAGGCUCGCUAAGUUGAAAACCCGGAAGGGCGGCUUAGGCAAAAAUGAGCACCCCGCUGGAUUGACAACCCGAAAGGGCAGUUCAGGCAAAAAUGGGGCAUUAAAAAAGAAUUUAAUUCCCCGAUGGAUCGAAAACCCGAAAGGGCGAUCCAGGCAAAAAUGGGAUACAAAAAAAAAAUGAAUGAAAAUUGAGAAAAUAACAUGCAAAAAGCAUUGACCACAGAUGCGACGUCCACGAUACAUCCAGGCAUUAUUCCCAGUAGAGUCUCCCAAGAUUCUAUCCCCAGCAAGUUGCAUAACUACCGGCCCUCAGCCUUGGUCCCGAUACGUCUCCCAACGACGUCAUCUCCAAAGAGGAUUUUCAGGAAUGUGUAAUAUAGCACGAGCCACUACGUGCCCAAUACUCCAAUGUCUUGUCUGUCUCUGCGAAACUUUGUCUACAAAUCGCCAACAGUCAUGCAUUACAAGCAUUCAUACAUACAUAAUCAUGCAUAUUACGUGCCCAUGCAUUUAAUGAAAUUGUUAUAUCAUUCAUGCAUGUUGCAUUUCCAAUGUCAACAUUAGUCUCAAUUCAAUACUCAUGUCGGGUUCUCUGUCAAAACCUUGUGAGCCAAUAAUAUUGGUCAAUUUCUACCUUUCAAAUCAAAUCGACGUCAAGUCAAUUUCAACCUAUAUUUUGUCAAAAAACUAAUCCCCUGUGAAUUUGUUUCUGUUCGGUCAAGUGGCUAGUUCAAGUCCAAGAACAGCUUGUACCUAUCAAUUUGCUUAUGUUAUCGGUCGAGUGCCCAGCUCAAUCCAAGAGCAGCUUGUACCUGUCAAUAUGUUUCUGUUUGGUCAAGUUACCAAUUCGCAUCCAAGAACGACUUGUACCCGUUUACUUUUCAAUGUUAUCGGUCGAGUUACCAGUUCGAAUCCAAGAACGGCUCGUACCUGUCUAUGUGGCUAUGAUUUUGGUCAAGUGACUAGUUCAAGUCCAAGAACAGCUUGUACCCGUCUAUCUGUUUCUGUUCGCUCAAGUGGCUAGCUCGAUCCAAGAGCAGCUUGCGCCUGUCUAUUUUGUCUUUGUCUCCGGUGGAGUAACCAGUUCGCAUCCAAGAAUAAGCUCGCACCUGUCUAUUUGCCUUGCUUUCAGUCGAGUGACUAGUUCGAAUCAAGAACAACUCGUACUUGUCUAUUUGCCUUUGCUUUCAGUCGAGUGACCAGUUCGAAUCAAGAACAAUUCGUGCCUGUCUACCUUUUCUAUGUCUCCGGUCGAGUGACCAGUUCGAAUCCAAGAACAACUCGCACCUGUUUGUCUGCUUUUAUUCCAGGUCAAGUGCCCAGCUCAAUCCAAGAGCAGCUUGUACCCGUCAAUUUGUUCCUAGUCUCCUAUCUACCCUGUUAUCUGUUAUCUUGUCAAUGUCUACCAAUCCCGCAAUGGAUACGACAUCUUUUGUUAAUUCCAGCUUUCGUUUGUCUCGCACUCAUAAUCCAAAUGUUGCAUGGCAUUCAUGAUAUUUGAAAAUGUACAAGCGUAUUUUUACGUCCAAACACAGUGCAAAUGUUAAUAUUUAAGUAUCUUCGUCCCGUCGAGCCAAAGACUCCGUCUCUUGACCCUCCAGACAAAGAAACUUAAAUAGGGGCAGCUGUUAUACCCUGAUUUUGGACCUAAAAAUACUCGUUCAAAUUUCUUUUCUAACACUGAUACUUGUCAAAUUCUCUGUUAUUUUUUUCUCUGAAUCUUUACUCUUUUUUUAAACAUAUUUUACUGCCUCUGUCUGUCUUUUCUUGCAUUACAAGUCAUUUAAGAACUCUCUGAAACGUCGCAUUACUUUUCUUGCAUUUUAUUUCAAAAAAUCAUACAAAAGGGGUAUUUUGGUCAUUUCCUGCAGUGGAACCCAUUUUAGUCCCUGUGUUUGCCUCUGAGUCUUUUCAACUUGUCUGUACGAAUUAUUGUUGAGUCUUUGUUUAAAAAAUCAUUUCAAAAAUUGCAUCUGAGUCAGUUAGUCCCUAGGGGCAUUUUGGUCUUUUCCUGUUAAAAUUCCGACAGGGAGGUAUUUUAAAAUACCUCAUGUCGGUAAUUUGUUCGUUUUAGUCCGUUUGUUGAUUUUAUUUUUCGUUUCACUUUACCUUUUUACCAAUUACCAAUUUUAAUUCAUUUUAUUUUUAUUUACAUUUCGGUCCCCCAAAAGGGUCCCAAAAUUGCAUUUUUGUCCAAUACUUUUUUAAUUACAUUUUUUUAGUUUUUUUUUAUUAUUGCAGAUUAGUCCUCAUAUUAACUUUUUGUCAGAUUAGUCCUUAAGUCCAAAACAGUCCAGGUGUCAAUUUUCCAUUGGGUCACCAAUACACAUGGCAGGCUAUAAAUAGUAAAUGUGUCAGAUCCAUCACAAUCAGUCAAAAAAAAUCAGAAUCAAUCACAAUCAGUCUCAAACAGAAUCUUUUUCUCUCUCUCAUCCAUAACAGAAUCAAAACAGAAAAAACUCAGAAAAAAGAGGAAGAACACCAAGAACACCUCAUCACCAAAAUCAACAGAUCUAAACCGGAUCUGCUCAGAAUCAGCUCCAACCACCACAAAAUCAACAAAUCCGAACCGGAUUCACUCAAAACCACCGCGAAUCAUCACAUCAACACUAAAACAUACCGGAUUUUCGAGCAAAAACAACACCAACGGAGGAUAUAGCGCGCGCGCGAAAGAGAAGAGGAGAGAUUCGAAGUUUUCCGAAUAUCUUUUUUCUCCGUUCUACGACAGAGGUAACGCGUUUCUCCUUUCUUUCUAAGCCAUUUCCGCGCAUUUCUUGCUUGAAAAAAGUGUGAAAAAGUUUGUUACGGACAUGUAUUUGUAGAUCUAGGCUUGUACGUUCGGAUUUUAGAAAUUCCGAGACCGGAUUCGGACUCUAGAGAGAAAAGGAUAUCUAGAUCCGUAGUUUUUUUUCAAAAAAAGUGUGAAAAAUUUUCAAAGUAAAAACGUAGAUCUAGUCCGAAUCGCUCCGUUCUCGCUAAAACUAACGCCGGAUUUGUGUAGAGGAGGUGGUGACGGAACUUUUGAUGUAAAAAUUUUUAAAAAAAAAGUAGUUUGAAUUUUCCGGCGCGGUGGCGCCGCCGCCGGAACCACCACCACUCAUGCUCGCUGGCGGCGAGUUCCUAGAGAGAAGGGAGAGCUUCUCUCUCUAAGUGUGACUUAGAGAGAGAAGGAGAAGAAGUUUAUGUGAUUUUUGUGUGAAAUUUCCUUUAUAUACUCCCUCCGUUCCCACGCGCGCGCGUGCAUGUUUCUAUGGUGUUCCCUCGCUCUGUGAACCAUCAGAUCUGGAUUGUUCCAAGAUCUGAUGGCUGCUGUGUGUUUGAUUUUGAAUCCUGUGUAUGACUUUUUGUGUGGAAUAUGGUAUAUCUUCUGUUUGAACCGUUAGAUCUUUGAUCUAACGGUCACUGUGCUUCCUGCAUUUUACACUAUCUUUUGUGCUUUUUUUUGGACCCUUGGAUCUUUGAUCCAGUGGCUGUGAUGUGAUCUUGGGAGUUAGAUCUGGACCUCUGGAUUCAUCCAGCGGACCAGAUUAAAUCCUGCUGAGUCCUUUUUUUAAUUGCUUUUUAAUUGUGUUUUAAAUACUUUUUUACACUUUCUUGGCUAUUUUAUGCUCCUAAAAAAUUUUCUAAAAAUAUUUCCCUAUCAUUUAAUUUUUUCCUUCCAAGUGUUAGAAUUUAUUUGCUUAUUUUUGUCAUUUAUUUUCUUUACUUUGUUCUUUUAAUUCUUGCUCAUUAAAUUCCAUAUAUGUUCUUGAUGCAUUUUUUACAUAUUAUGAUAUUUUGGCAUGUGAAAUAAUGUGUGAAAAUAUCUCUAGGAAUAUGAUAUAAUGCUUUGCUUGUGUGUACUCUUAUGAUCCUCACAUUGUAGCUUAAAUUCAAACCUUUCAAAAAAUGGCUAUAAUGAGGGAAUUAUAGGUCAUAUGCAUGUAUGAGUGUUAUACCUAAAUUCUAGGUGUAUUUUUACCACUUUAUUUCAUUUCAUUACUUUUUUUUUCUCUCUUGCUAUUCUAUUCAAUUUUGUUUACCUUUCUACUAUUUUUAUGCUUUAUGAUACUAACCAUCUCAUCUCACAUUUCAUUCAUCCCAUAGUUUUGGCAUCAUUUUUCUAUUCAUUUCUAUAUCAAUUGGGUUUGUAAUAAUUUUAGAUAGAUUAGUUCCUUUUUAAAAUUCUUUGCAAGACCAUAGCAUGUAUCUAGGACUCAAUGUAAAGGACUAUGGACACUAUAAGUGAUGUACACCGACACGAGCACCGACACAUGCACACACCCCACAUGGAUGUUCUAGAUGCAUGAUUAGGGAAUGUAUGUUUAGAUGUAUGCCUAGGUUUUACAACGCUUAGACAAAAAAAUCAUUUUUUCAAAAAAUGUGAAUAACCUCACUUGAAAACUUUUUUUCUAAAAUAGGAGUCAAAACUCCUCAUUUUCCUUUUGUUUUCUUAAGUAAAAAUUUUUUUAAUAAAUUUUAAUCAUGCUUAGACUUUAUUUUGCAAAAUAACUACUUCCACCUCACUUUUUCCAAAUCUCAUGCCCUUGAGGCCUCUCACCUCCAUUCUUCAAAAUUCCUCUUUUCUUUUCAAACUUAAAAUCAACCAACAAAAACAAAAACAAUUUUCGAGAACGAACUACGUUUGGUUUUGAUCCCUUAAAAGGGUACGUAGGCAAUGAGUUAAAACUCCUCCAAGCCAAGUAAAAUAAAAUAUCAAUCAUCUUCUCUCCCCCAUUCUUCACUAAAAUAAAACUUCCUUUUUUAAAAUAAGUAGGCAAUAAAAAUAAAGCGUAGAAAUAAACUUAGGAGAACGGUUCUUAUGGAAUACCAUAAUCGUUCCGGGUGCCUAACACCUUCACGUAGCGAAAACGACCCCCGAACUUAGAAUCUAAGGGUUUUUUCUCAAUUUUGCCCUUCCCAAGAAAAAAUAGAGAAUAUCAAAGAUUGAAAGGUUCAAGCCUAAUUAAUGACUUGACAACCGAAAAUCGCGAUAACAAACCCGAUCCAAGGGGCAAGUGGACGCCUAACUAUGAAGGUCCUUAUGUUGUCAAGAAGGCCUUCUCCGGUGGUGCGUUAAUCCUUACACACAUGGAUGGUGUAGAACUUCCGAAUCUAGUGAAUGCCGACAUAGUCAAGAAAUACUUUGCCUAGAAAUAUGAAAAGAACAGCGUGGUAGGUCGAAAACCUGAAAGGGCGGCCUAGGCAAAAAUGCGCUUCCCGGUGGAUCGAAAACCCGAAAGGGCGGUCCAGGCAAAAAUAAGGGACAAAAAAAUAUAUGAAAAAGCUCGCUGAGAUUGUACACAACUCAGGCAAGAAUGAGCGUCUCGAUGAGACCGAAAACCCGGAAGGGCGGUUCAUGCAAAAAUGAGAUUGAAACAAAAGGCAAGUAACUAUAUCUGGCCAACCACCGUCUCCCGUUGGGGCAUCUGCAGCUGUUAAUGACUAUCUUCAUCAAAAGCUCCUACGCUUGUGAAUUCAAAGUUUCUAGGAAAUGUAAUGAUUGCUGUAUUCAAUGUACCACCAACCAAUAAAAUUACCAUUUUCCAAGCUUUGUAAAUCCGUGGAGUCACGCCUUCGGCUGACCACCACUCUUAUACAUCAAUUUGAGCCUGUGCUUUUGUUUGAAACUCUGUUUUCUUUUUACUUUCAAAGUUAUGUACAAAAAACAUUUUCCUUCUAUUUUAAUAAUGACAAAUGCUCGAAACAAACAUCUUGAAAAUUGAAAAAGUUUUUUUUUGAAAAGCAAACCUGAGCAACAGGGUACAUUCAAAUGAACAUGCAUGAGCGAGUGUGUGUUGGUGUCUAUUUCAAUAUAUGUUACAAGCAGGUUCUCCUCCAGGAUAGUCUGUGGUCAAUGGCAAGAAUGAAAAAACAGAAUGAAAAUGCAUGAAAAUGAAUAGGCUCGCUAAGUUGAAAACCCGGAAGGGCGGCUUAGGCAAAAAGGAGCACCCCGCUGGAUUGACAACCCGAAAGGGCAGUUCAGGCAAAAAUGGGGCAUUGAAAAGAAUUUAUUUCCCCGGUGGAUCGAAAACCCGAAAGGGCGAUCCAGGCAAAAAUGGGAUGCAAAAAAAAUGAAUGAAUGAAAAUUGAGAAAAUAACAUGCAAAAAGCAUUGACCACAGAUGCGACAUCCACGAUGCAUCCAGCAUUAUUCCCAGUAGAGUCUUCCGAGAUCCUAUCCCCAGCAAGUUGCAUAACUACCUGCCCUCAGCCAUGGUUCCGAUACGUCUCCCAACGACGUCAUCUCCAAAGAGGAUUUCCAAGAAUGUGUAAUAUAGCACGAGCCAUUACGUGCCCAAUGCUCCAGUGUCUUGUCUGUCUCUGCGGAAUUGUGUCUACAAAUCGCCAACAGUCAUGCAUUACAAACAUUCAUACAUGCAUAAUCAUGCAUAUUACGUGCCCAUGCAUUUAAUGAAAUUGUUAUAUCAUUCAUGCAUGUUGCAUUUCCAAUGUCAACAUCAGUCUCAACUCAAUACUCAUGUCAGGUUCUCUGUCAAAACCUUGUGAGCCAACAAUAUCGGUCAAUUUCUACCUUUCAAAUCAAAUCGACGUCAAGUCAAUUUCAACCUAUAUUUUGUCAAAAAAACUAAUCCCCUCUGAAUUUGUUUCUGUUCGGUCAAGUGGCUAGCUCAAGUCCAAGAACAGCUUGUACCUAUCAAUUUGCUUAUGUUAUCGGUCGAGUGCCCAGCUCAAUCCAAGAGCAGCUUGUACCUGUCAAUAUUUUCUGUUUGGUCAAGAUACCAGUUCGCAUCCAAGAACGACUUGUACCCGUUUACUUUUCAAUGUUAUCGGUCGAGUUACCAGUUCGAAUCCAAGAACAGCUCGUACCUGUCUAUGUGUCUAUGAUUUUGGUCAAGUGGCUAGUUCAAGUCCAAGAACAGCUUGUACCCGUCCAUCUGUUUCUGUUCGCUCAAGUGGCUAGCUCGAUCCAAGAGCAGCUUGCGCCUGUCUAUUUUGUCUUUGUCUCCGGUGGAGUAACCAGUUCGUAUCCAAGAACAAGCUCGCACCUGUCUAUUUGCCUUUGCUUUCAGUCGAGUGACCAGUUCGAAUCAAGAACAACUCGUACCUGUCUACCUUUUCUAUGUCCCCGGUCGAGUGACCAGUUCGAAUCCAAGAACAACUCGCACCUGUUUGUCCGCUUUUAUUCCAGGUCAAGUGCCCAGCUCAAUCCAAGAGCAGCUUGUACCCGUCAAUUUGUUCCUAGUCUCCUAUCUACCCUGUUAUCUGUUAUCUUGUCAAUGUCUACCAAUCCCGCAAUGGAUACGACAUCUUUUGUUAAUUCUAGCUUACGUUUGUCUCGCACUCAUAAUCCAAAUGUUGCAUGGCAUUCAUGAUAUUUGAAAAUGUACAAGCGUAUUUUUACGUCCAAACACAGUGCAAAUGUUUAUAUUUAAGUAUCUUCGUCCCGUCAAGCCAAAGACUCCGUCUCUUGACCCUCCAGACAAAGAAACUUGAAUAGGGGCAGCUGUUAUACCCUGAUUUUGGACCUAAAAAUAACUACGUUCAAAUUUCUUUUUUAACACUGAUAUUUGUCAAUUCUCUGUUAUUUUACUUCUGAAUCUUUACUCUCUUUUUAAACGUAUUUUACUGCCUCUGUCUUUUCUGACAUUACAAGUCAUUUGAAAAUUCUCUGAAUCAUUACAUUACUUUUCUUGCAUUUUAUUUCAAAAAUCAUACAAAAGGGUAUUUUGGUCAUUUCCUGCAGUGGAACCCAUUUUAGUCCCUGUGUUUGCCUCUGAGUCUUUUCAACUUGUCUGUACAAAUCAUUGUUGAGUCUUUGUUUAAAAAAUCAUUUCAAAAAUUGCAUCUGAGUCAGUUUGGGUCAGUUUAGUCCCUAGGGGCAUUUUGGUCUUUUCCUGUCAAAAUUUCGGCAGGGAGGUAUUUUAAAAUACCUCAUGUCAGUAAUUGGUUCGUUUUAGUCCUUUUGUUAAUUUUAUUUUUGGUUUCGCUUUACGUUGCGUCAAAUUUACUUUUUAGUCCAAUUUUAUUUUUUUUAAUUGCAUUUUUGUCCAAUACUUUUUUUAAUUGCAUUUUUUUUAGUCUUUUUUUUUAUUAUUGCAGAUUAGUCCUCAUAUUAACUUUUUUGCAGAUUAGUCCUUAAGUCCAAAACAGUCCAGGUGUCAAUUUUUCAUUGGGUCUCCGAUACACAUGGCAGGCUAUAAAUAGUAAAUGUGUCAGAUCCAUCACAAUCAGUCAGAAAAAAAAAAUCAGAAUCAAUCACAAUCAGUCUCAAACAGAAUCUUUUUCUCUCUCUCAUCCAUAACAGAAUCAAAAACAGAAAAAACUCAGAAAAAAGAGGAAGAACACCAAGAACACAUCAUCACCAAAAUCAACAGAUCUAAACCGGAUCUGCUCAGAAUCAACUCCAAUCACCACAAAAUCAACAAAUCCGAACCGGAUUCACUCAAAACCACCGCGAAUCAUCACAUCAACACCAAAACGUACCGGAUUUUUGAGAAAAAACAACCACAAACGGAGAAAACGCGCGCGCACGGAGAGGGGAAAAAGGGAGAUUCGAAGUUUUCCGAAGAUUUUUCUCCGUUCUACGACAGAGGUAACACAUUUCUCUCCUCUUUUCCUUCAUUUUCGCGCGCACCUAUAGUGUAGAAAAAGUGUGAAAAAGUUUGUUACGGAUAAAGAUUUGUAGAUCUAGGCUUUUGUGUUCGGAUUUUGGAAAUUUUGAGGCCGGAUUUGGACUUUAUAGAGAAAAGGAUAUCUAGAUCCGUAGUUUUUUUUGCGAAAAGUGUGAAAAAAAUUUCAAAGUAAAAACGUAGAUCUAGCCCAAAUCUCUCAGCCCUUUCUAAAACUAGUGCCGGAUUUGUGUAGAGGAGGAGGAGACGAAGCUUUUGGUAUAAAAAUUUUGAAAAAAAAAAAAAAAAAGCUCCGACGCGGUGGCGCCGCCGCCGGAAACCGGCCGGCCGCCGCGCCGGAGCAGCUCCGGCCACCUCCUCCACCUUCUUCUCCGGCGA